CCGCAUGUUUCAACUUGCCGUUUGCUUCUCCUCGCUGUCAAAGUCAUCGGAACCGGCAAAAUUCAAAGAUGAAAACAUAAAAAGAAGGUUCGUUCAUUUGUAAAGUUGAGUUUCUCAUGUCCAGAUCUGAUUCAUUUGCCCAGUUCUGAUUCAUUUCUUGUUGUUAAUUUCUUGUUGCCCACAUUCACCACUACUCUUACACUCGACGGAGCCAUCAAACAUCAAAACUCAAUAUGCAGGGUGAGUUGACUGAGCACUAUUCUCUUUUUCUAUGUAUCUCAUCUUGUCCUUUGUAUUUUUGUUUGAUUUUUUUUCACUGGCCAGAUCUGAUUCAUUUAUCCUUAUGAAGAAAGUAAAUAUGAAGUGGAGGAAGAGCUUCAAUCAGAAGCAAAUUAAAAGGAAUAGAAGUGGAGGAAGAGUGUUAAUUUAAGGAAGAUCAUGAUCACUGGUGGUCUUUGUUCUAUCUAGUUUAGGUGUUUUGUAAUUUUAAUUUUGGUUUUGUAACAUAUUGAUUGGAACAUUUGUUUUUUUCUUUGGGUUAGGUUCUUAAUUUUUUUUUUUUGGAAUUGUAAAGGAAAAGAAAUUGUAUAUUCUAUUUAGUUAAUUAAUGAAAAACUUUGUGAAAUAAUAAUAAUUUUAUGAAAUAUUCGGUUUAAUAAUUACUAAUUAUUUAAUAAUUUAAAAUUUAAAUUUAACAAAAUUAUUGUGAUUAAUGUAAGAAAAUGAAUUAAUGUGUAGGAAAGAUAAUUUGUAGGAAAUUAGAGUGAAAUAAUUCGUAGUAAAUUAGAAUGAAUAUAGUUUUCGUAGGAAAAUAAAAGGAAAUCUUUUGGAAGGAAAUUAGAAGGAAAACAUUUCCUACGCACUAUUGGAAGGAAAACGAUCAAAAAUACCUUUCGCUUUUACUACCAAUAAACCUACGAAUUUUCCUACGAAUAAACCUACGAAUUUUCCUACGGCGCGUUUUUUGUAGGAAAUUUUCCUACCAAUAUCUUACCAUCUACGAUUUCCUACGGGUGAUUUCCUAUCAUUUUUUUCGUAGAAAUAUCGUAAGAAACAGCUGUUUCCUACCAUUUUUUCACGAUAGUGUCUGUAGGAAAUCUGCGUUUUUCUUGUAGUAAUUAGUAUAAAUAGAGACCUUGGGUCAUUAAGAGAAAAAAUCGAGUUUCAUUAGGUUUUUUCUCUGUAGCCACCAAACAUUUCCAGAAACUUGUAAUCUUAAUAUCUUUUGAUCUAUUGAGUUUUUAGUGUUGCUUCUAUAUAUUUUUUUGCUCCUUAGAUCAUUAUCUAUCUAGUUAUGCAUGAUUUAGCAAUUUCUGGGUUUAUGUUCUUCAUGAUGAAUUCCAGAUCCGAGUAGUUUCUAGGUUUAGAGGAUGGGUUAGAUGAUGAGGAAUCUUACUCUCUAGGGAUGUUUAAGUAUAGAUUCAGGUAGAUACCGUGGAUUAGGAGAUUUAAUUGCUAGUCUUUGCAUUAAUCAUGUGGGAAAAGAUCCUAGACAUUCCAGCACCCAAAAAGUGUUCAACGGAAUGUCUGAUCCACUAAUGCCAGAGUCUAUUUACUUACCCAAGAGGUUGGCUGUUAAGGAGUAGAUUGACAUAAAUGAGCUUGUUCUUUAUGCCUAUCUACUGCAUGGUUCAUCAAUGAAAGUUGAGAUUAGGAAGUGCUUUAGAUUUGAUAAUCUUUGCCAAGAGAUUGGACUGAUUAUAAGUGGUUCAUUAUCUAGGAUUAGAUCUAUUUGAGCAUGUUAAACAUCCCCAAGAGAUUAAGAGGAUUCAUCACUCCAUUAGCCCAUCCUUAAGACCUUUUUUUAUCUGAUUGGUUACCUGUUUUCAUUUCUGCUUUCAAUAUUGCUUCUGUAGUUCUUGCAUUCUUAGUUUCGCUUCAGUAGUAUUCUUAGAUCCUUUAGCUUAUCUUUAGUACUGUUAUUAGAUCAUUUAGUUUAUCAUUCUGUAGUUUACUUUUAUGCAUUUGAGUUCUUAAUCCCAAAAUUUCAACUGCCUGGCUUGACUUGAUACUUAUGUUAUAUCUUGAUUAUUUACAACACACUCAUUUGGAUCGAUUAACCUCAUGUACUACAUUGCACUGGGGAAUUGAACUCCAAGACACACAAAACCCUUGUUUGACUAGGGUUAACUAUCCACCAGAAAUUUAACACUAAAAAGACUAAUGGUUCAGGAAGAAUCAUCGACCUAUCAACUGAUUCGACGAUGGUAUAUCCUGACAUACUAGCUGAAGUACUUGCUGACGGACCUGAAGUUGUACAAUACUAGAAGAAGUUAUUCAAAGAAGGUUAUCUUGUACCACGUAAUGGUGUGUAUGUACAUUUAAAUAGGAGCCUAGAAAACAUUCUAAACCAUUCAACUCUAAACCAUUCAAGAGUUGGUGCACCUCAUCUCACAUGAUCUUUUGGAGCUUAAAAUGGAUGUUUCCUUAAAUGGCUCAUUCCAAAUAUUUCAAUGGAGACCUGGAGAGUUUCCAUAUCACUUAGAGGUUUCAUUACACCCUCUAGGAUGCACCACAUCACACUUGAUCAGGAGGAUCACGUUUGAGCUCUACUUACCGUAUUUGGACCCAUUUGGCAUUAAUACACAACAGCUCCUUCCUUCUUUGUUUGUGUGCGUGUUAAACGCUCUUACUAACAUCAAGAAGCUCCCAAGACACUCAACAUAUCCACCAAAACCUUCCAGAUACAAGCCCAAUCAUAUAUCACCUCUAAAUUUCGGGUUAUAACCCUUUGUUUUUUAAUAUUUGCAUAAUUAAACCCUUGCCAUUUGAAAAUAAUAAAAUUUAAAGUAGAUUUUGUAAUUAAAUCACAAUCAAAUCGCAAAAUUGGAAACAAACAUUUAUUACAACAAUAAAAUUUCCUAAACUCUCUCUAUAAUAAAUUGAAUAUCUCUCCAAUAUAUUUAUAUAAUUUUAUUUGUUUUAAAUUUAUAUUAUUACAUAAAACAUAUGUAUAAUAAAAAUACAAUUUUUUUUUGCUGUUUAAACUUCGAAAACUGACGUAUUGUAACGCCCGUGUUCUGGAAAAUAAUAGAAGACUUGAGUUUGUAGAAGAAUUGGGGUGGAGUCUGUUUAAUUCUGGUUGAUUUACUAAGCUGGUCGAUUUGUUAAUUGAAACAUAGGUGGUUUAUUUAAUGUCGGUUUAGUUAAAUCCUCGUUUAAUCAAGUUAAACCAAAAACCCAAUUUCCUCUCUCUUUUGCUAUGUCAUUGCUUUGUUAUGAGAAAUUAGUUAGAGAAAAGCUAAAGGAGAAGUUCACUUGUGAGAAGCAGAUGUUUAGCUUUGCUUUGGUGUUUAAGGCAAAAGAAGCAUAUUCGUCACGUUUUUGGAGAAUAAAUAGACCCCUUGGGUCAUUAAGCUAAAAACGAAUUUUCAUUAGGAUUUUUCUCUGUAGCCACCAAACAUUUCCAGAAACUUGUAAUCUUUAUAUCUUUUGAUCUAUUGAAAAUUUGGAGUUGUUUCUGUACAAUAUCUUGCUCCUUAGAUCAUUAUCUAUAUAGUUAUGCAAGAUUCAAAGAUUUCUGGGUUUGUGUUCUUCAUGGUGAACUCCAGAUCUGAGUAGUCUUUCUAGGGUUUAUAGGAUGGGUUAGGUGAUGCGGAAUCUUAGUUUCUAGGGUUGCUUAAGUAUAGAUUUAGGUAGAUACCUUCUGGAUUAGGAGAUCUUAAUGCUAUCUUAGCAUUAACCAUGUGGGAUUAGAUAUUAAACAUUCCAGCACUCAAAAAGUGUUCAAAUGGAAUGUCUGAUCAACUAAUGCCAGAGAUCAAUUUACUUACCCAAGAGAUUGGUUGUUGAUGUAGCGAUUUUUACCCGAUCAAUUAAAUUAUCGAACCUCAAGAAGCAAUUAAUUAACACACCAAGAAUACACAAAUUUGCUUAAUCUAAACUUAAUAAGAGAUGAGUUUUGAUUUCUAAAUGUAACUAACAAUGCAAUUUAAAUCAAGCAAUGCAAAACAAGAUGAAAGAAAGCAAUAAUCAAAAGACUAACAAGAUUCGAAUUGAAACAAAGCCGGAAAAGAUAAUUACUAAGCAAUAAUUAAAGACGAAUCCUCGGGUUAAGGUAAUUGACUAGAAGCGAUAAGGAAGCGGAUUAUGGAGCUAACAACUUCAAACAAGCAUUAAUCCUUAGGCCAUAGACACUAAACUAGACUAAUUCAUUUCCAUGACAAUAAUCACUUUACUAAUCAAAUAAUCAUCAACUUCUUCCAAAGGCAAUUAAAUGAUCAACUAGCAUUAAUAACAAGUCUAUCUAGCCACUAAACAUCCUAAUCAACAUUUUCAAAUGGCAAGGAGUGUAAAGUACUUAAAAGUUUUGGUUCGGGAAUUUCAUCGAACACCUUCCGGGCGUGAAAUUCCUAAGCUCUAAAUCAAUAUUAACAAAGUUGAUUUAGCCUUAUUAGCAACCAAUAAGCAAGGAUCUUGGACAAUCUAAUCCUAAACUGCAUAACCCAACUCCAAAAUCCUCCUAAUCUACCUAACCCAAAGAUUCAAAAUGACUACUCACUCAUGGUCAUGAAACCACAAAGUAAUGUGUUUGAUCUUUGUGAAAUCAUGAUUAUAGAUUGUAGAUUAAGAUAAGGAAGAAAUACUUAUAUUAAAACUUCAAGUUUCAAAUACAAAAUCCAAGAAAAAACCUUAAAACAUAGCAUCAGAUCCAUAAUUUUAGGCUUUGAAACAUUUAUAUAGUAUAAGAAAUCGAUACGGGUCAACCCGAGAUGAACCGGGUCAAACCCAAACUCUUUAUAUCAACCGGUCGAUUGUAUGGUCGAUUGAAAACUUGUUUUGGCGUCUGUUUCACUCCAACCGACCUAUCAACCGACCUGUUAAUCGAUUGGAAUUCUCGAUGGCUUCUAUCUUCGUUCUAUAUGGAUAUACUCUCACUAAAUCAGUCAUAACUCAUGAACCAUAACUCUGAUUGGCCUGAAACAACCACCGUUGGAAAGAUAAUUCGAUAUUUCUAUCUCUUUUGUUCAGAGUUUCAAAGCUAAAUCACAAGUUCAAGCCUUCAUCUGAGUCGGUCUUUGAGAGACUUCGGACUGGAUCUACAUCAUCAAUCCUCCACUUUGCAUUCAAACAUGUGUCUUUAUUAUCUUAACCUAAAAUAGCUUAAAAGACACCCAAAACACACUAAAACACACUCAAAGACACUAUAUGACUUCUAAAAAGCAAGAAGACUCAUUUAGACACUAAAUGCAACAAAACACAAUGAAAAUACAAUUGAAACAUGAUAAAAAUGAUAAUAAAACCCUUAAUAGAGCUGUAAAUAUGAUGUGUAUCAGUUGUUAAGGAGUAGAUUGACAUUAAUGAGCUUGUUCUUUAUGCCUAUUUAUAGUAUGUUUCAUCAAUGAAAGUUGAGAUUAGAAAGUGCUAUAGAUCUGAUAAUCUUUGCCAAGAGAUUGGACUGAUUAGGUUAAGUGGUUCAUUGUCUAGCAUUAGAUCUAUCUGAGCAUGUUAAGCAUCCAAAAGAUACUAAGAGGAUUCAUCACCCCAUUACCCCAUUCUUUAUGCCUAUUUAUAGUAUGUUUCAUCAAUGAAAGUUGAGAUUAGGAAGUGCUAUAGAUCUGAUAAUCUUUGCCAAGAGAUUGGACUGAUUAGGUUAAGUGGUUCAUUGUCUAUGAUUAGAUCUAUCUGAGCAUGUUAAGCAUCCCAAAGAUACUAAGAGGAUUCAUCACCCCAUUAGCCCAUCCUUAUGACCAUUUGUUUAUCUGAUUGAUUAUCUGCUUUUAUUUACUGCUUUCAAUUCUGCUUCUUUAGUUUACUUUUAUGCUUUAGAGUUUAUUUAACUAACCCCUGAACUACUUGGCUUGACUUGAUUAGAUCUGUUAUAUCUUCAUUGUUUGCAAUUCAUUCAUCUGGAUCGAUACCUCUUAUGCUACAUCGCUAAGGGGAAUUAAACUCCAAGGGUAUAAAAAUACCUGUUUCAAUUUGGCGCCGCUGCCAUUUGGAUGUUAUUUGUUCCAUUUAGGAUCCCAGUUCUAUCUAGAUAGUGUUCUUUUACUUUCAAUAAUAUUUGAUUAAUUAUUUCUACCUUUGCUACUUGUCUGUCUUGCAUUUCAGGUACACUCGACCGAGCUACACUCUGCACUCGAUAAGUUUUUGAUGAACCAGCAGAAGAAUGUACACUUUGUUCAAGAGGAGGAGACCUUCCAACCUAAUGAUGGUGAUUGUGCUAAUAUUGAGAAGGUGAGCUAUAUCCAGAAUCAAGGAGGUUACCAAAAGGGUUACAACAACUAAAAACCCAACCCGAAUCUUUCUUAUAGAAGCACCAACGUCGCGAACCCCCAGGAUCAAGUCUAUCCGCCUCAACAACAACAGUUCCAGAACAAGCCAUAUGUUGGCUUUAAUAAAAAACAAGCUUUUCAACGUCAACAACAGUCCCAAGGUUCUUAUCAACAGCCUAUAUCACACCCUCCAGGAUUCCAACAGCACCCUACUAAUGUACACCCAGAACAAGAUAUUCAAACAACACUUCAUCAGCUUCUCCAAGCACAGAACAAUAGCGCCCGGAACAAGCCAUGCAGUUAGCCGAGCUUCGCAACGAGAUGCGUGAGUCUCUUUACAGGAGCUCCACCAAAAGUUCGAUUCUUUAAACAAAAGGGUAGUUAUCUUAGAAGGCAACCAACCCUCCACAUCUUCUGGCCAACUCCCAGGAAAGUCUAUCAUGAACCCUAAAGAAUUUGCUACUGCUCAUGCGAUUACUCUGGGAAAACCAUUCCCAAUUAUCACUGAAGACAAUGAGGUUCAAGAGGGGGAGGAUUCAGCCCAAAUGUGUACCCUACACGGUGAACCCGAUCGAGUCUACAACAGGCACGACCGUGCCAAUGGUGAACCCGAUCAAGUCUACCAAAGACUCGACCAAUCCGAUCAAAGGUACCAUGAACCCGAUCGAGCCCGAUAUCGUGUACGCUGCUUGUCUGACAGGUUGUGUGAAUUAAGUUCCGACGAGCCUAUUCGCCCGAUCAGAGCUACCAGCCCCAAGCCUUCAAAUCGAAGACCACUACUCUACCUUGAAGAAUCUAAGGCAGAAAUCAAGGAAGAAUAUAACCACAUUCUUGAUUCACUAUCAGGGAACGAUCAGCUGAAGGCUUUGGUGGAUGUUUUCGCCAACAUUCCCUCCUACAGGGAGAUUCUCAAAGAAGUCCUAUUGGAAAGGAUGCAGCAAAGGAAGAGUUGGAUUCCACCCUCUCAAGAUUCUGAUUUCUCCAGGAAGAUGGGGGAUCCUGGAGCUUUCACACUCCCCUGCUCAAUCCGAUCAAUGAUCUUCAACGCGUGUUUAUGCGACACAGGCGCUUCGAUUAGCUUGAUGCCCCUCUCAAUAGCUCAGCGGAUGGGCUAUACAACCUUUACACCAUGCAGCCUGACGAUUGUGAUGGCGGACAGAAGCUUUAGACAACCCGUAGGGGUAUUGGAGGAUCUCCUUGUUGAAACUGGAGGAGUAAAGAUUCCCACUGAUUUUCUGAUUCUCGAGAUGGAAAGGGAACCUUAGUAUCAACUAAUUCUAGGAAGACCAUUUCUAGCCUCAGCAGGUGCAGUUAUUGAUAUGAGAAUGGGGGUCAUGACUCUUGAUCUUGUUAGAGGGACGAGGAAGAUCAAUAUGGCGUAUCCGCACCAAAGUACAACGUUCAGAAUAGAAGAAACCUCGACCUCUUCUCCAACUUGUGUUGAGCUCCAGGAGAUCAUGACUCUCAAGAAAGACUUAAGGCGGCUAGCAACCACCAUUCAAGGAUUAACCGAGGAAAUUGUGAUGUUGAAGAAGAAGAACGACAUCUUGACUUCUACGAAAGCAAAGAAGGUAUUUACUUUCAAGAAGAGACAUGCUGCAAGGAAGAAGUAUCAGAUACAUUGGUCAUUGGCAUUGGAGAGAAUGGUUGAACCUCUCCAUUUUUCAAACACUUCGUGAGGAUUAUACCAAGUCAAGCUUAGCGACUAUAAACAAGCUCACUUGGGAGGAAGUACCAAAGGUAUCCCUGUACAUAUUUCUUUAAGUUUUUAAAAUUUGAUAAUCUUUUUAGUUUGAUGUGUUUUCAGGUUUGAAUGUGAGUGAAGAAAGGUGUUAUUGGGCCAAGAUAAGGGAAGAAGGGAGAAAGAGUAAAUUUGAUCCUUAAGCCCAAUUUCACAAGCCCAUUCGGUCGAGUCAACACCCACACAAACGGGUCAACGCGAUUCGAUCGAGUCAAUCUCGACCGUCCGAUCGAGUCAAUCUGAGCCACCCGAUCGGGUUCAUCUCAGCCGUCCGAUCGGGUCAAAGGUAACGGUCGGGUCAAUGGUCAGCUCGAUUUGAAAUUCAAAUUUUGAACCAAGCCCGACCAAAAACGCUCCUCUUUCAGAUUUUUGUCCCCUCUCACCCUCUUUAUAACAUCUAAACUCAACCAAAACCUCUCCACUCUCUCAUUUUGCUAAAAAUUCAUAUAUCUCUCUAGAAUUCUCUCUUCAUUCUCUCUAGAUUCUUGGUUGAUAGAAUUUCUGGGUUUGAUUUCAUUUGCCUCUUGUUCCUCUCAUUCCCUGGUUUGUUGAUAAACUUGCUUUCGAUUCUUCACAUUUUUUGGGUUUGUUUGUAUAAUUGAACCUUGUGUUCUUAUUUUUUGGGUUUAUUUUCAAGAUUGUUCUUAGUGUUCUUAUUUUCCGGGUUACUAACCUAUUAAAUUUGAGUUUUGAGUUUCUCAUUCCCAGAAAACAAGAAUGUCUUCAAGGAUUCCUCAACCCAGAAGGAAGAGCCUCUCAAGAUCACAACGAGAAGCUCAUCACAGCCAAUCUGCCAAAGAAAUUGCAAGAAAUUUCUUGACAAUCCAAGCCACUGGAACCGGACUCGAUCGGGUCAGAAGCGGAAGAAGAGAAGCCCGAGCACAAACCCGAUCACCCGAUCGGGCCAGUCGUGUGUAGAAAGACUUGUUGAUUAGCCCAUCCUUAAGACCAUUGUUUAUCUGAUUGUUUACCUGAUUUCAUUUCUGCUUUCAAUAUUGCUUCUGUAGUUCUUGCAUUCUUAGUUUCAUUUCAGUAGUUCUCUUUGAUCAUUUAGUUUAUCUUCAGUACUGUUCUUAGAUUUUUAAUUUAUCAUUUUGUAGUUUACUUUUCUGCAUUAGAGUUCUUUAAACCAAAAUUAUAACUGCUUGGCUUGACUUGAUUAGUUCUGCUAUAUGUUGAUUGUUUACAAUACAUCCAUUUAGAUCGAUAACCUCUUAUGCUACAUCUCAUUGGGGAAUUGAACUCCAAGAGCAAAUAAAACGCUUGUUUCUAUUUGGCGUCGCUGCCGGAUGUUAUUUGUUCCAUUUAAGAUCCCAUUUCUAUCUAGAUCAAGUUCUUUUUAUUUCGUUUCUAUUCGAUCACUGAUUUCUACCUUUGCUACUUGUCUGUUUUGCAUUUCAGGUGCACUCGACCGAGCCUCCUGCAGUUCCGAUCGAGCCUGACCACGUGUUUCUGAUCGAGCAAUCUUGCACGCACACCAGAUCCAAGGGCAACCAGCACCUACUCAAUUACCUCAACAACAUUGACCGCUUGCCUAGACAACUCUGAAAGCAACGCGUUAAAACAUCAGACAUCAACACUCAGCAAGUGGAAAUGGACCCUCCACCACGGGCACCAACACUAAACGGAGCCGGUGAUGCCCCACGAAACCACACAACUCGACAAGGGAUAGUCCCUCAAGCAGUCCAGAAAACCAACUUCGAGAUAAAGAGUAGCCUCAUUUCAAUGAUACAGGGAAAUAAAUUACAUGGAUUAUCAAUGGAAGACCCUCUCGAUCACCUCGAUGAGUUCGAUCGAAUGUGUGGCUUAACAAAAAUAUACGGUGUGAGCGAAGACGGGUUCAAGCUCCGAUUGUUCCCUUUCUCCCUUGGCGAUAAAGCUCAUUAAUGGGAGAAGUAAUUGCCCGCUGGAUCAAACACAACUUGUGAGGAGUGCAAGAAAGCAUUCUUGUCCAAGUUCUUCUCCAAUGCACGAACCGCACGAACCGCACGAUUGAGGAACAACAUCUCUAGCUUUGCUCAGCGCAACAACGAAACCUUCUAUGAAGCAUGUGAGAGAUUCAAAAGCUAUUAGUCAUAAUGUCCUCACAACGGUUUCAGCAACGAGUCGCUGCUUAGUACUCUCUACCGAGGAAUACUACCCAAGUUUCGCCUAUUUCUCGAUACGGCCAGCAAUGGAAAUUUUCUAAACAAGGAUGUUGAAGCUGGCUGGGAACUCGUGGAGAUUCUAGCUCAGUCCGAUGGAACGUACAAUGAGGACUAUGAGAGAACCGUUCGGGGAAACACAGAACAAGAGGACAAGUAUAAGAAGGAUAUGAAGGCACUAAACGACAAGCUCGAUAAAUUUAUGAUGAACCAGCAGAAGAGUGAUAACUUUGUUCAAGAGGAGGAGACCUUUAUCCAUCAUGAUGGUGAUUGCGAAAAUAAUGAGGAGGUAAGCUAUAUCCAGAAUCAAGGAGGUUACCAAAAGGGUUACAACAACUAUAAACCCUACCCGAAUCUUUCUUAUAGAAGCACCAACGUUGCAAACCCUCAAGAUCAAGUCCAUCCACCUCAACAACAACAAUUCCAGAACAAGCCAUUUGUUGGCUUUAAUCAAAAACAAGGGAAUGUAAAUGAUAAUUGACCUUUCGUAAGAAGCUUUUGAGCAUGCAAAUCUUCCAGAUUCAUUUAACGAUAUCAAAAAUAUUAUCUGUAAGUUAGGAAUGAACUGUGAGUCUAUUUACGUAUGGGAGAUUCCACUUAUAUUUACUUCAAUUCACUUAAAGCAAAAUGUCUAUUGAUAGCGACGGAAAGAUGUUGUAAUAGGUAGAUUAUAGCAUUUUCAGUAAUGUUUUGAUAGGUGUUAUACAUAGAAUAGUGUUAUAUUCAUGUGCUACAAUAGGUGGGAUACAACAGCGAAAUUUUAGUGCGAAUAUAUAAUUUUUUUAUUUUGUUUUAGAAAUUUAUAGAAAUUCAUUUUAUUUGCUAUAGUUGGUCAAACAACAAUAAAAUUUUGCAACGCUAUAUUAAAUUUGUUGAUGGUUAAAUUUCAAAGCUAUUGUUUUAGAUCAUUACGUAUUUUGUUUGCUAUGAUAAAUAUUUUCAUAAUGCUAUCUAUUGUUAUAUUUUAAACAUGUUUUCAAUAAUAAAAAUACAUUUACAUUUCAAAAGCAACAUAUUUAUUCAACUUAAGAAGCUUCAAAUAUAGAUAAUACAAGUCUCAAUCUAAAAGACAUUAAGUAUACUUGAUAAAAGUCUUAAUAUAAAAUAGAUUAGUUAGUUAAGAGUCUAGGCAAAUUAUUCAAACUCGCUAACCUUGACCAAUGUGUCUUCAUUCCCUAUAAUAUUAAAAAUUACCUACAUAUAUUUGGAAACCACUACGAGAUGUAAAUCAAAUCACAAACAACACAAUGAUUACACCACUUACCAAUUUCUUUUGGUAUAUAAGGCUGCCAAUUUUAUUCAUUUGCUAAGCAAUAGAUGAACCAAGUGCAUCUUUUAGAUACUCGAUUUCAUCUUAUGGCCUCCACACUGCUGCAUCAUCUACCAUCACUAUGUCCACCCAAACUCUAACUGCAUUAGACCCUAAGCGAGUGAAAUGGACCAUUUGCUCUGGGUUUAGUGAAUGCUGACGCCCUUUAAAAACUACCUGCUUCUUUCCACCAAUAUCCAGCAACUUGACUUUCCUUUUUUCUUUGAUAACUCAAUCAACAUGUUAGGCUGCCAUGUUCAGAGAAGUUUACCACUUAAUAUAGACAAAGUUAAAAGAUCCAUAUUCUGAAAAUCACAGGCAAACAAUUACCAGAAAUCUCCAAGUANNNNNNNNNNNNNNNNNNNNNNNNNNNNNNNNNNNNNNNNNNNNNNNNNNNNNNNNNNNNNNNNNNNNNNNNNNNNNNNNNNNNNNNNNNNNNNNNNNNNUUUUUGAUAAAUUAGCUUUUUAACUGGAGACUUCAUACUUGUGGUCGUAUCGGUCUCACCACGAGAUUCGGAAAUAGAGGCUGCGAAUGUUGUACCUACUACUGUAUAUAUCACAAUUUGAGAUUUGGAAAUAGUACCUACUGAUUUUGCUCAUGCUGAUUGAUCAUUUGUUGUAUAUAUGGUGUCGACAAAUAAACCUUUAGCUACUGGCCAUGCUACAAAAUAUUAAGUCAAUCAUCUAGUUAUGUCACAUAAAUUGUUAGCCUUCAUAUAAAUAGUAUCCGGCAUGUGUACGACAUCUAUAAAAUCUUUAACUGCCUUUGGUCCUAGGUGCAGUCCAUUAACCAAUGCCUUGCGGUUUUGUGUUUUCCACCGUACCUCAAAAACAACUAUAACACCAUUAGACAAAGCGAGUAGCUUGCAUUCUCCCUAUUAAAUCAUAUUCAAACAAGAAAUUGUAGGUGUUAAUGGUAUAUAAAUCUCAGUAAUUAUUUAUGUUGAAAAUUCAUAUACUAUAACAAGAGAACUGUGAGAAGUUUCGGAAAAUGGAAGGUUUAUUGUGAUUUUAGGUUUUGUGACUCUGACAAAAGAAAAGUAAUGGAGAGACUUAAAAAGGAGAAAAAGUUAAUAAAGAGUACUUUUGUGAUUGGUUAAUUAGCCGGUGGUGUUAUUAUUUAUCAAAUGUUCAAAAGUAUUUUCAAAUUCUUUCUUCUAAUUGGCCAGAGCUAUAUACCAAUCACUAUAGCCUAGGGCUUAAUACUAAUAAUUACUUUUUAUCAGGUUUUUGAAUUAAUAGAUUUUUAUCGGGUAAAUGAAUGAUUUUGCACACACAAAGCAAAAAAGAUAAAAAUAAAAUAAAAGGGUUAAUCAAUCGUAUCUUACCCUUUUAAAUUAAUUGAAUUUGAAUUUAAACCUGAAAUAGGUAAAGUUGGAAGGUGUUCUUUUGAGGGAAAUUGGCCAUUUCAUACCUAACCUAAACAUGAAUGUACAAUUCAUACCUAACAUUUUUUUAUCUGUCAUUAUAUACCCGAAUGUUAGGUAUGAAUUGAAUACUCAUAAUUAUGAAGUGUAUUAAAUGUUUAAUUUCCCGUUUUUUUGUAGGAAAGUUUAAUGAACCAUUUGAAGAAAAACGAAGUGGAAAAAAUUAGUAGGAAACUUGAAUGAAUACAUUAUAUGUAGAAAAAUUGAAGGCGAUCAUUUGAUUGGAAGUUAAAAAGAACAUGUUUCCUAUAACAAAUUUUACAAAAAUGGUCCAAAAUACCCUUCUACGUUUGUACCACCAUCAAAUUCUUACCAUAUAUAUUUCAAACGGGUGAUAUCCUACCAUCUUCUGUAGGAAAAUGGAAAAAAAUGGUUUUUUUUACAAUUUUGUUAUGCUUUUGUUCGUAGGAAAUCGGUCAAUUUCUUGUAGUUAUAUAUGUGAAAUAUGGUCAAAACUGAUAUUUGGUUUACUUUAUUCAUAGACUUAUUAUAAAAUGGACAAGUAUUGGAUUACAAAGCAUCGUUUAUCUGGAGAUUAAAUGAGUCGAAUUAAAGAUUGUUUGGAUUUUGCAUUUGGUGAUAUUAAGAAAGAGAUGAUUAAAUUUCCUUGUUAGAGUUGCUGCCUAGUUAUUGAGGUUGAGGGUCAAGGUUUUCUACCAAUAUAUACAAGUUUGUAGAUACAUGAAGAACAUUUAGAUUUCCAUGAAGAGACCAUCCGAUUAGAAUCUGAAUCCAAUGUAGAUACUGAUGGAAAAAAAAAUCUACUUUGAGAUGCUUUUCCAAGUAUGGAUAAUAGUUUUAAUAAAUCUGCUAGUAUGCCUACAUAUCAAUCAAAACAAAAUGAAGCAUUUGAUGAUUUGUUAGCCGACGAUAAUCAAGUUUUUUAUGAAAGUUGUCAAGGGUCUAACAAAUUAUCAUUUAUUGUUAAGAUAUAUCACAUCAAAUGAAUGUCUAGGAUAAGAGACAAGGGAAUGUCAAUGAUAAUUGACCUUUCGUUAGAAGCUUUUGAGUAUGCAAAUCUUCCAGAUUCAUUUAACGAUAUGAAAAAGAUUAUCUAUAAGUUAGGAUUGAACUAUGAGUCUAUUCACGUGUGUGAGAUUCCACUUAUAUUUCCUUCAGUUCACUUUAAGAAAAAUGUGUAUUGAAAGCAACAGAAAGAUGAUGUAAUAGGUAUAUUAGAGCGUUUUCAGUAAUCUUUUGGUAGUUGUUAUACAUACAAUAGCGUUAUAUUCAUGUUCUACGAUAGGUGGGAUACAACAGCGAAGUUUUAGUGCGAAUAUAUAAUAUUUUCGUUUUAUUUUAGAAUUUUAUAAAAAUUCAUUUUAUGUGCUAUAUUUGGUCAAACGACGACAAAAUUUUGCAACGCUAUAUUAAAUUUGUUGAUGGUUAAAUUUCAAAGCUAUUGUUUUAGAUCAUUACGUAUUUUGUUUGCUAUGAUAAAUAUUUUCAUAAUGCUAUCUAUUGUUAUAUUUUAAACAUGUUUUCAAUAAUAAAAAUACAUUUACAUUUCAAAAGCAACAUAUUUAUUCAACUUAAGAAGCUUCAAAUAUAUUGAUACAAGUCUCAAUCUAAAAGACAUUAAGUAUACUUGAUAAAAGUCUUAAUAUAAAAUAGAUUAGUUAGUUAAGAGUCUAGGCAAAUUAUUCAAACUCGCUAACCUUGACCAAUGUGUCUUCAUUCCCUAUAAUAAUAAAAAUUACCUACAUAUAUUUGGAAACCACUACGAGAUGUAAAUCAAAUCACAAACAACACAAUGAUUACACCACUUACCAAUUUCUUUUGGUAUAUAAGGCUGCCAAUUUUAUUCAUUUGCUAAGCAAUAGAUGAACCAAGUGCAUCUUUUAGAUACUCGAUUUCAUCUUAUGGCCUCCACACUACUGCAUCAUCUACCAUCACUAUGUCCACCCAAACUCUAGCUGCAUUAGACCCUAAGCGAGUGAAAUGGACCAUUUGCUCUGGGUUUAGUGAAUCCUGACGCCCUUUAGAAACUACCUGCUUCUUUCCACCAAUAUCCAGCAACUUGACUUUCCUUUUUUCUUUGAUAACUCAAUCAACAUGUUAGGCUGCCAUGUUCAGAGAAGUUUACCACUUAAUAUAGACAAAGUUAAAAGAUCCAUAUUCUGAAAAUCACAGGCAAACAAUUACCAGAAAUCUCCAAGUAUGUUUUUGAUAAAUUAGCUUUUUAACUGGAGACUUCAUACUUGUGGUCGUAUCGGUCUCACCACGAGAUUCGGAAAUAGAGGCUGCGAAUGUUGUACCUACUACUGUAUAUAUCACAAUUUGAGAUUUGGAAAUAGUACCUACUGAUUUUGCUCAUGCUGAUUGAUCAUUUGUUGUAUAUAUGGUGUCGACAAAUAAACCUUUAGCUACUGGCCAUGCUACAAAAUAUUAAGUCAAUCAUCUAGUUAUGUCACAUAAAUUGUUAGCCUUCAUAUAAAUAGUAUGCGGCAUGUGUACGACAUCUAUAAAAUCUUUAACUGCCUUUGGUCUUAGGUGCAGUCCAUUAACCAAUGCCUUGCGGUUUUGNNNNNNNNNNNNNNNNNNNNNNNNNNNNNNNNNNNNNNNNNNNNNNNNNNNNNNNNNNNNNNNNNNNNNNNNNNNNNNNNNNNNNNNNNNNNNNNNNNNNAAAGCGAGUAGCUUGCAUUCUCCCUAUUAAAUCAUAUUCAAACAAGAAAUUGUAGGUGUUAAUGGUAUAUAAAUCUCAGUAAUUAUUUAUGUUGAAAAUUCAUAUACUAUAACAAGAGAACUGUGAAAAUUCAUAUUGUGAUUUUAGGUUUUGUGACUCUGACAAAAGAAAAGUAACGGAGAGACUUAAAAAGGAGAAAAAAGUUAAUAAAGAGUACUUUUGUGAUUGGUUAAUUAGCCGGUGGUGUUAUUAUUUAUCAAAUGUUCAAAAGUAUUUUCAAAUUCUUUCUUCUAAUUGGCCAGAGCUAUAUACCAAUCACUAUAGCCUAGGGCUUAAUACUAAUAAUUACUUUUUAUCAGGUUUUUGAAUUAAUAGAUUUUUAUCGGGUAAAUGAAUGAUUUUGCACACACAAAGCAAAAAAGAUAAAAAUAAAAUAAAAGGGUUAAUCAAUCGUAUCUUACCCUUUUAAAUUAAUUGAAUUUGAAUUUAAACCUGAAAUAGGUAAAGUUGGAAGGUGUUCUUCUGAGGGAAAUUGGCCAUUUCAUACCUAACCUAAACAUGAAUGUACAAUUCAUACCUAACAUUUUUUUAUCUGUCAUUAUAUACCCGAAUGUUAUGUAUGAAUUGAAUACUCAUAAUUAUGAAGUGUAUUAAAUGUUUAAUUUUCCGUUUUUUUGUAGGAAAGUUUAAUGAAACAUUUGAAGGAAAACGAAGUGUAAAAAAUUAGUAGGAAACUUGAAUGAAUACAUUAUAUGUAGAAAAGUUGAAGGCGAUCAUUUGAUUGGAAGUUAAAAAGAACAUGUUUCCUAUAACAAAUUUUACGAAAAUGGUCCAAAAUACCCUUCUACGUUUGUACCACCACCAAAUUCUUACCAUAUAUAUUUCAAACGGGUGAUAUCCUACCAUCUUCUGUAGGAAAAUGGAAAGAAAUGGUUUUUUCUACAAUUUUGUUAUGAUUUUGUUCGUAGGAAAUCGGUCAAUUUCUUGUAGUUAUAUAUGUGAAAUAUGGUCAAAACUGAUAUUUGGUUUACUUUAUUCAUAAACUUAUUAUAAAAUGGACAAGUCUUGGAUUACAAAGCAUCGUUUAUCUGGAGAUUAAAUGAGUCGAAUUAAAGAUUGUUUGGAUUUUGCAUUUGGUGAUAUUAAGAAAGAGAUGAUUAAAUUUCCUUGCUAGAGUUGCUGCCUAGUUAUUGAGGUUGAGGGUCAAGGUUUUCUACCAAUAUAUACAAGUUUGUAGAUACAUGAAGAACAUUUAGAUUUCCAUGAAGAGACCAUCCGAUUAGAAUGAUCGAUGUUUGUAAUGGAAAGAUUAACCUGAAUCUUGGGAAGGACAUAACUAUGAAUUUCGACACAAAGAGCACAAUGAGAAACCCAACCAUCAAUGGGCAUGCCUUCAUAAUGGAGGAAACGGAUCCACUAAAUAGUGAAUUUAUGGAAGAAUUGACGGAAGAAGAUCAUUUGAAGACUGCUCUCACGAAAGGCAAUACUGACAAUUUCUUGUAUAAAGAGACAUCAAGCUAUAGUGAUGGCUUAGAUUUUUACAAAGUUGCUGACCACGCAGAACCAUGUGAAGAGCUACCCAGAGCGGGAAGAUUAGACAAGACGAUCUACAAGGUUGAGUCAUCUGAGUUGUUAAUGGAGAAUCAGAACCGACCAAACCAAGACUCGAUCGAGUCACCUCAACCAAAUCAGACCCGUCCGAGUAACGAUCCAGUCGAGCCUGUAAGCUCGAUCCAGCCAUUGGUAAGCCCGAGCGGAUUACGUUCGAUCCGAUCGGAUGACUGAUCCGAGCUCAAUGCACCAAAAGUUGAACUCAAACCUCUUCCCGCUGGGCUCAGGUAUGCCUUCCUCGGUCCUAACUCUACAUACCCUGUUAUAGUUAAUGCUAGCCUGAGUAACAAUGAAUUAGACUUGCUAGUACAAGAGCUUAAGAAGUAUAGGAGGGCCAUAGGAUAUUCUUUAGAUGACAUCAAAGGAAUUUCCCCCAGUUUGUGCAUGCAUAGGAUCAGUUGAUAAAAUGAAUCUUAUACCAGCAUAGAACCUCAGAGAAGGUUGAACCCUAAUCUAAAGGAAGUUGUCAAGAAGGAAAUUCUGAAAUAUCUUGAUGUUGAUAACCCUAUAUUUUUAUUCUCUACUUCUUAGGAUUUCUAGUUUCUUUGCAUUAUAUUUUGCAUCUAGGAUCUUUACCAUAGGGAUUUGCAUAUCAUCUGCAUUUUAGAGCAAAAACACAUACACUCGGACACCGCAAAGCAUGGACCAGAUCGAGUGUGUCCAACCCGACCAAGCGAGCACGAUCGAGCACCCAGACUCACAAGAGGAAGAUGAACACGGACGAGCCGAGAGAGGACCCGACCGAGCCCAACAAGCACCCGACCGAGCUCUCUUUCAACCGACUUUGUAAUUUGUUUUUUUGUGUUUUAGAGUUUCCUGCCUUUAGUAUAAAUAGACCUCUUAGGUCAUUAAGCCAAAAACGAGUUCUAAUUAGGGUUUUUCUCUGUAGCCAUCAAACAUUUCUAGAAACUUGUAAUCUUUAUAUAUUUUGAUCUAUUGAGAAUUUGGAGUUGUUUCUUUACAAUAUCUUGCUCUUUAGAUCAUUAUCUAUCUAGUUAUGGAAGAUUCAAAGAAUUCUGGGUUUUUGUUCUUCAUGAUGAACUCUUGAUCUAAGUAGUUUUUCUAGGGUUUAGAGGAUGGUUAGGUGAUGAGGAAUCUUAGUUUCUAGGGUUGCUUAAGUAUAGAUUUAGGUAGAUACCUUCUGGAUUAGGAGAUCUUAAUGCUAUCUUAGCAUUAACCAUGUGGGAUUAGAUCUUAAACAUUCCAACACUCAAAAAGUGUUCAAAUGGAAUGUCUGAUCAACUAAUGCCAGAGAUCUAUUUACUUACCCAAGAGAUUGGUUGUUAAGGAGAAGAUUGACAUUAAUGAGCUUGUUCUUUAUGCCUAUUUAUAGUAUGUUUCAUCAAUGAAAGUUGAGAUUAAGAAGUGCUAUAGAUCUGAUAAUCUUUGCCAAGAGAUUGGACUGAUUAGGUUAAGUGGUUCAUUGUCUACGAUUAGAUCUAUCUGAGCAUGUUAAGCAUCUCAAAGAUACUAAGAGGAUUCAUCACCCCAUUAGCCCAUCCUUAAGACCCUUUGUCUAUCUUAUUGAUUACCUGCUUUUACUUAUUGCUUUCAAUAUUGCUUCUUUAGUUUACUUUAAUGCAUUAUAGUUCUUUAAACCAAACUUUGAAUUACUUGGCUUGACUUGAUUAGAUCUACUAUAUCUUGAUUGUUUACAAUACAUCAAUUUGGAUCGAUACCUCUUAUGCUACAUCACAUUGGGGAAUUGAACUCCAAGAGUACAAAAAUACCUGUUUCAGAGAUUCAAGGGAUAUCAAUCACAAUGCCCCCAUCACGGGCUCAAUAGCGAAUCCCUACUCAUUACACUCUAUAGAGGGGUCUUACCUAAGUUUCAGAUGCUUCUUGAUACAACUUGUAAUGGAAAAUUUCUCAACAAGGAUGUUCAAGAUGGUUAGGAACUUGUCAAGAACCUAGCGCAGUCUGAUGGUACAUACAAUGAAAACUAUGAUAGGAUUGUUCGGGGAAACACAUAUUUAGAGGAGAAGUAUAAGAAAGACAUGAACACAACAAAAUAACUUGAUAGAAUCUUGCUUGGUCAGUCCAAGAGUGUUCACUUCGUCACGGAGGAGGAGCAUUUUCAACCACAAGAAGGAGAUUGUGCUACAACAUAGGAAGUUAGCUAUGUGCAAAACCAUGGUGGUUAUCAAAAAGGCUUCAACAAAUAUAAGCCAAAUCCAAACCUCUACUAUAGAAGCACUAAUGUAGCUAACCCAGAAGAUCAAGUGUAUCCACCUCAACAAAAGCAAUUCCAAUACAGAAACUAUGCUUCUGGACCUAUGACCCAAGGAUUCAUUCCUAAACGGCAAAAUCAAGGAGGCUAUCAGCAGCCUAUGGCACCACCUCCUGGAUUUUAACAGCAAUUUACCCAAGUACCUCUAGAACAGGACUUCCAAAGUAUGCUUCAUGAUUCUCCAAGGACAGGCCAAAAACAAUCUUUAGAAUGCUAAGAAGAUGGCUGAGCUUCGUAAUCAUAUUGCUACUUCCUAUAAUGACUUAAACCAGAAGUUUGACGCUUUGAGCAAUAAGGUUUCACAAAUAGAAGGAAACCAGACCUCAACUUCUUCAGGACAGCUACCAGGCAAGUUUGUCAUGAACCCAAAGGAAUUUGUCACUGCCAAUGCAAUUACNNNNNNNNNNNNNNNNNNNNNNNNNNNNNNNNNNNNNNNNNNNNNNNNNNNNNNNNNNNNNNNNNNNNNNNNNNNNNNNNNNNNNNNNNNNNNNNNNNNNGCAGCAAGUAUUGGUUAUGAAUCCCCACCUUCAAACCGCUCUUCGUACUUUGAAUUUACUUGAGGCCAAGUAAAGAAUAAGUGUGGGAGAGUUGAUAACUCUAUAUUUUCACAUUCUUAAGCACGUUUUUUAUGCAUAGUUUGCAUAAUUUAAGUCAUAUUUCUUAGAAUUUUUAGUCUCUUUUCCUUCAUAUUGCAUUUGUAGGAGUUUUAGCAUAGACAUUUGUAUACUUUUGCAUUUUGGAGUUAAAACAGGUACUCUCGUGACAUUUAUGAACAUUCGAGCAUCUGGACCCGAUCGAAUGGACUGGACCUGAACAAGGUGGACACGAUCAAGAAAUCUAGCGGAGUGAAGAACCAGAUUUGCAACUAAGGCAAUGGACUCGACCAAGCAUCAGAGAAGGACCCGAAUGAGCCUAACCUGCACCCGAUCGAGCCCAUUUGCAACCGACCUUUUAUUUUGUCUCUAGUGAACUAGGGCUUCUCUAGUUUCUCGAGUUUUCAUUAAGGUUUAAUGGUUUAGCCACCAAAUUUCUAGAAACUUAUAAUCUUAAAAUCUCUUGAUCUAUUGAGUUUUUGCUGUUGUUUCUUUAUAUUAUCUUGCUGCUUAGAUCAUUAUCUUUCUCAUUAUGCAUGAUUCAGAGAUUUCUGAGUUUGUUUUCUUGAUGAUGAACUCCAUAUCUAAAUGAUGAACUCCAUAUCUGAGUAUUUUUAUAGGGUUUUGAGGAUGGGAUAGGUUAGUGAGGAAUCUUACUCUCUAGGGGUGUUUAAGCUUUGAUUUCAAUAGAUCCUUUCUGGAUUAUAGAUUCAAUAGCUAGUUUUUGCAUUAACCAUGUGGGAUUGAAUCUUAGACAUUUCAGCACCCAAAAGGUGUUUGAUGAAAUGUCUGAUCCACUAAUGCCAGAGAUCUAGGUUCUUACCUAAGAGAUUAGUUGUUUAAGGAGUUUUUUGACAUUAAUGAGCUUGAUCUUUUAUGCCUAUCUAUUGCAUGUUUCAUCAAUGAUAAUUGAGAUUAGGAAGUGCUUUAAAUUUGAUAAUCGAUGCCAAGAGAUUAGACUGAUUAGGUUAAGUGGUUCAUUUUCUUGGAUUAGAUCUUUUUUAGCAUGUUAAGCAUUUCAAUGAGAUUAAGAGGAUUCAUUAGCCAAUUAACCCCAUCCUUCAGACCAUUAUUCAUCUAAUUUUUUACUUGCUUUCCAUGUCUGCUUUAAUUCUGCUUCUAUAGUUCUUGAAUGCUUAGCUUGUCUUUAGUAUUGUUCUCAGAUCCUUAGUUUUAUUCUGUCAUUUACUUCUAUGCAUUUGUAUUGAUGAUCCAAACUGUUGCAUCAUACUUGUUUACAUCACACCCAAAUUGGAUCGAUAAACCUUUUGUACUCAUUGCACUAGGGAGAUUGAACUACAAAAGAUUAUCAAAAUCCUUAUUUCAUACUUUUAGGAUAUGCUAAUUUGUUGUUUUCUUCUUUCCUUUAAACAUUAACCUCAUCUUCAUGACCCUCUAAUUCAUCUAAUACAUAUUUACAAGGCCUACCAUCAUCACCUGAACUUGCUCCAUCUGGAUCCUCACAGCAAUCGAACUUGACGUUAUCUUCUUCAUCUCCAUCAUCAUCUUCUUCCUCAUCCUCUUCAAUAAUUGGCUAUUUUUGGGCCCCCUUCCCCUUCAAAUAGUCGCCAUCAUUCCUCUAUCUUCUUUUCACUACAGGUUCAGUUUCCUCAGCUGAUUUCGAUGAAAUACUUACCACUAAAUCAUCAAAUUUCACACACAAACGUCUCACAGACUAGGUUUACACUGCCUAAGAAAACCUUUGAAACUAUUGCCCCUUACAAACAAAUACAUGGGGCGUAUCUCCAGGUAAAUGAUACAUGGCUCUUCUUGGUCGAUAAUUUGUAAGAUAGAUGGACCUGAUAGAGACUUCUAUCCACGCCGAAGUCUUCCUAAACCAUUUCAAGAAACUCCUCAUACGACACUUUUCUAGUAGCAGAUAAGACUCUGCUACCUCUUUUAUCAUCAACUAUAAAUACCCAUCGUUUUUGCCAAAAUUUCCACUUCCCACGAACAAAUGGAAUAUCCUCUAUUAAUCCCCAACUAGUUUCUCUAACUACUUUGAUUUCUUUUGAAUUAUGGUGUUGAACAUUCAAACACAAUACAGGGCUGCGCUACAACGAAGAAGAAAGAGGUUUGCUUCCGUAAAUGCAACAAAACUUGAAGGUAAAACCGGAAUUUUGGGUGAACGUUCGCCCUUACAAAAUCCUAGAUACGUAUAACUCUACCAAGGAAAUCUACCAACGUUGUCAUAGAGUAACUAAUGAUAGAGUUACUUAAAACUAGUUACUCUAUCAUAAAACUUUAUCUCUACCUUACUUUUGCUAACUUGGGCAUAUUAACUGUUGUAACUAAAUGAAAACUCUAUUUUUAUUAUGAACUCUUUCAUAAGGACAAACCUGCCAUAAAACAUUUUGUUUCUCUCCUAUCCAUAUUGGUUUGAAACCACUAUUUAUGUGAUACUCUCGAACUUCUCCCAAAAUGUUUUUUGUUAAAAAGAAAUGAUACUUAUAUAUAGAUGAAGGAAUAUUUGUCUUGAAAGAAUCAAAAAUAAAACAUUAUAGUGUUCUUGCAAAUAAUAUGAUAUUAUAUACAUAUUUAAAAACAAUUAAUAUAAUUAUACCGGCGCUAAACAACCUAAUCCUAUAUAUAAUAACACAGUUUUCUCUCAUUUGAGAGUGUCCAACUCAACAUAUAUAUAGUUAAUCAGUGGUUCUAACUAAUGGUUAUAUAUAUAUAUAUAUAUUUAUUUAUUUAUUUCUAGCCCACAUGUGUAUAGCCCACAAUUUGAUUAAAUUAUAUAGAUCUAAUAUAUAUUGAAUGCUCACCUUUUCAUUUUUGUAUUAAAAUUAAAGCCCGAAAAUAAACUAAGCCCAUUGUCCAAUUUAAAUAUAAGCCCAACAAAAAUAAAGUCAACAUCUCAUCUUUGUAUCCUCUUUCAUCUUCUCAAUUUCGCUGAACAACGGUGACAGCGGUGGAGAUUCACACAUAAGAAGAUAAGUCAUCAACAAUUAUUUUACAACUAAGAUUCAUAAACUCAUGUAUUCAAUCCGUAUUUAUGCUCCACUACUUCACCUUCAAAUCAUGUUAUUGGGAUGAAACAAAAUGAAUUUAAAUUUCACGCCAACGAAACGAAACCUAAAAUAAAUCAAUCCACCGUAUGUCUUUUAAUCUUCCUAUAAACUACUAAAAUUGAUCACUGGAAAGAUCCAACCCGUUUUUUGUUUUUUAUGUAACCAGAUUAACCCAAUUAAUUCAAACUAAGUAAACCAGCUAAAUCAGACUAAACCAAUUUAACCAAUUUAAACCAGCUAAACCAGACUAAAUCAAUUUAAACCAACUAAACCAGAUUAAUCCAAUUUAAAUCAUCCAAUUUCAAUUUAAACCGGUUAACUAGCAAUUCCAAUUAAACCAAACCAUAACCACUAAAACCAUCGGAAGACAUUAAACCUAACAAUCCAGCAAACCAAAUGCAUUAACCAUCUAUCCAACAAAACAUUCAAGGAAAAUAAAAUAAUCAACCUAUCAUGUUUCUAAAUUCCAGAACUAGCAAUUCCUAAACAAUUCAUAAGAUUAUUCAAACAACCAGCGAGCCCCUAGAUCAUCUCUCUGUCCUCUCCAUGAUUCCACUGUUACAGCUUUCUUUUACCUGCAUCACUGAAAAAGAUGCGUAAGUAUUUCCAGAAAUACUUAGUGAGGCGAUCCUCCCAUCUACGAGCUAUACACACAAGCAAUGAGAUAACAACCACAUAUAUAACAUAAACAAACCAUCUAACAAGCUAAACAUCCAAUAACACUUCCAAUUAACCUAUAAAUCAUCACAAACAAGUCACUUAAUCCCAGUUGCUAAGAUAAGCUCAUGUUCAUGCACUCACCUUAACAAGGUCAUUUGAAUAACAAAUACAACCAGGAAAGACUCUCCUCGCGACUGCAACAGCUAAACAACGCCCUACAAGAAUCCAUACAAACAAAAAUCUCUAUUAACCAAAAUUGACAUAAAUAGCAGAAACACUACAACCACAGAAACGAAACCCUAAAUUAGAAACCAACUGUUAACUUCUGAAUCCCUUUGCUGGAAAGCACGACCUAGACGUCACGAAGUUUCCCACAAAAUUUGGUGUCGAUCAAAUAAACGAUGAAACCACGAUCGCACAUACAAACUCCGCUGAUCUCAGUUCGCAACAGAGAAGAAGUGUCUCACCAAACUUUCGAUAAGAUUUGAUACGUCAUAAAACUACUCUACCAAAAUGUGACGGAGUCUGCUACUUUUGCCUUAUACACGAAACCAAAGCUAACCCUUUCCUUCUCACAAGUGAACUUCUCCUUCUCUUUUUCUCAAACUAAAAUCUCAAAAACAAACAUCGACAAAACAAAAGAGAGAAGAGGCAUACUUUAUAAAACUAGGGUUUUUGGUUUAAUCUGAUUAAACCUGGAUUUACCUAAACCGACAUUAAUUAUACAUCUUUUGAUUCAAUUAACAAAUCGACCAGUUUAGUAAAAUCAACCAGAAUUAAACCGACUCCACCCUAAUUCUUAUACAAACUCAAGUCUUCUAUUAUUUUCCAGAACACGGGCGUUACAAUCACCUCACACCACCUAUAAACAGAAAUACUUCCAUCUUUAGUAAAAUAUACGAUUCACUUUCACUUAAAUGUUGUUGUAAUUUCUGCCAAAGCAAACUAUGUUAGUUUUGAUGGCUUACGUAUUUGCCGUUCUCCUCAACACGUUGUUGGUCGAUUCUUUCGUUUUUGGAGGGAAAGUAAUCAGAAAAAAAAACUCAAAUGAUAAAUCCAAUUAAUCUAUGUCUCAAAAAUNNNNNNNNNNNNNNNNNNNNNNNNNNNNNNNNNNNNNNNNNNNNNNNNNNNNNNNNNNNNNNNNNNNNNNNNNNNNNNNNNNNNNNNNNNNNNNNNNNNNAAAAAAAGGGACACUUACUUUGAUAAUACACAAUUUAGGCGAAUUGACUAGAUAUAUACUAAUCAUUUUUUUAUUACUAGCAUAUUUAGGGUCUAUUUUCUAUUCACAGUGUAACCUUGUUACACGUUAGUGGAAAAACUUAAUUAUGAAGAAUUUCAUUGCCAUAACAGAGCAAACGCAUCGCCAAUUCAGAAAUCUUGCUCAUGUAUUAAUUAACUCAGCCGUAACGCUCUAAAGUGUUAGUUACAGCUGAGUUACGUUAUGUUGCGGCUGAUUUAAGGAAAACGGCUGAGUUAUGAGUGAACGGCUGAAUUAUGAGCAUAACACAGUCAAUAGUUACGGUUGACUUAAUAAAAUCUGGCAGGGUUAUGAGCGAACGACUGACUUACGAGCAAAGCCCAACCUUUUUUUAUGGCUGAAUUUUGACACGAUGGUUGUUUUGUUAAAAAUUUGGCUGAGUUAUUGAUUCAACACAGCUGAAUUAUGUUUCUCUGGCAUGCUGAGUUAUCGACGGCUGACUUAUGGGAUGCCGUUGUGGCUGACUUAUGUUUCAGAGUCAUAAAGUCAGCCAUAAUGAGCUAGUUUAACGGAUAAUUCGGCCUUGUUACGGCUGACUUAUUAGCAAAAGAUUAAUUACUAUAAUAUUAUGCAGUUACGGCUGACUUAUUAAACGAUACGACUUAGUUAAAGAUUUACAUUUCAACUGAAUUUGGGAGCCUUUUUUUCUUUUUUUUGAAAAUUACUGUAGUAGUAUUCAUGAUGCGGUUGAAUUAAAGAUUUGUUGUAUGGCUAAUUUAAUUUGGGUGAGUUACAUGUUCGUUUGGUGGUAGACAUGCCACUUCAUCAAUUCAAAAUGACUUUAAAUGCAUCAUUCCAUGUCAUCAUCAGCAAAGGAAAUACGAAACGUCGUCUUCAACAUUUUUGUAUUCAUCGUUGUUGUUCUUCACCUUGUUCUUCACACCAACACAAAUAUCGAUACCUCAAAUUUUGAACAUCCAUUUCGUCAUCGUCCUCCUUAUUCUUCGUCAUUUUCGUUCAUCCUUCUCGGAUAUACGAUGGAUCCGGUUCUGGUAAUUAUUUGUUUCCGUUAAUUGGCGCGCGCUACAAGAAAACCUGCAUUUUGGGACUAAACAUUGUGAUGCUUAUUUUAGUCGCAAAUAUAAGCGACUGUUUUGCAACUUAUCUGAGACAAUUUACCGACUACACAAAUAAUCGAAGCAAAAUCAUCGCCAACUUGCGACGACAGCAAUUAGUCGGUAACACGUCUCUUAUGUACGACGCUUAACCGAUGGUUGUGUAACCAAUCUAGAUGCUCGCAAAAUAACAGCAAUUUGAGACUACUAAGUAACUAGACUUGUAGUAAGAACGAAGAGUAGCAAAUUUGCGGGUUAUUUGCAACAAUAUUUUGGUCACAAAAUUGUUUAUAGUUUUGUUAUAAUACUCAACAUUAAGAUUAUUUUUAUUUGUGUUAUAUGCAUAGAAAUGUUCAGACAAUCUAAAUCAAUUUAAAGUUUUACAUGUUAUUUUAUAAGAAGGUGUGUAUAUUUGUGAAAAUUUCAUAAAAAAUCUACUAAAACAAUGUUUGAGACUCUUAAACAGUUACAAUAUACGCUAGAAUAACAUCAUAAGUUCUUAUUAGUACUUGGGUUCAUAAGUUUGGAUCAAAAUGUAUAGAAUUCAACAUUUUGCUUUGUGACUAAGAGAAAAUUGUCACCUGAAUUAAAUUAUUAAAAUACAAAAAUUUCAGAAUAUGUAAAUUAAUUUAAAGAGUUACAUGUUACUUUAUAAGAAUGUUUGUAAUGUUGUGAAAUUUAAGAAAAAAACCAACAAAAACAAUGUUUGAUACUCUUAAAGUGUUACAAUAUACUGUAAUACCAUUUUAAUUUCUUAUUAGUGCUUGGGUUCAUCAGUUAUGAUCAAAAUGUAUAGAAUUCAAAAUUUUGCUUUGUGACCAAGAACAAACCGUCACAAAACCGUAACAGUUUGCAACGAAUGUGUAACGUAUUUUGCGACUCAUUUGCUACGGUGCUCUUUAUUUUUCUAUUUUUUGUGAAAUUUGGCUAAGUGUUGAGCGUGUUAUCUUCCCCCCUCCCUUUUUUUUUUUUUUACUUUGUCUCUCUUUUGUGACUAAUUUGAGACCCCUUUUUGUUAAUACCAAAGAAAAAUACUUUAACGUUUUCUCAUUUAUCUCGUUUCUCAAAAUCGAUCUAGGGUUUUAGAAAUUCUCGCAACUUUCUCCUCUUCUCAUUCUCUUCUGAAUCGAUUCUUCUCCAUACUCUCUAAUGGCUGGUAAGGGAAAGUCUAAAAGAGGUCGUGGAGGCAGAUAUGCUGCUGGUGUUAAAGUCUUCCAUGGUGAGAGUUCUCGUGGAAGAAAAGGACCCACAAGUGUUCAGGUCCAGAAUGUUGAGAGUUCACGCGGAGGCAGAGAAGCCAGAGGUGUUCGGAUCUCUUCUGGUGAGCAUUCACUCGAAGGCAAAGAAGCUAGAGGUGUUCGGAUCUCUUCUGGUGAGUAGGGCGUAGGAAUUGUAUAGAAGCGUCUUCUCACACCUCGGUGGCUCGACCGGAGUCACAGUCUUUGACCCAUUCAAAUAGACAACUUCCAACCUAGUAUCCAGUGAGGGUACAACCAGCGCCUCGUAUUCCUCAACUUGCGCCUCGUGCUCCUCAACCAGCACUGGAGGAAGAUGAUGAAGAGGAAGAUGAAUAUGAUGAGAACCAUGAUCUUAAUCCUGCUGAAGAAGAAAAUCCCGAGGACGGAGAAAAUCCUAAUGAUGAAGACAGCCAAGCUUUGUUAGACCGUUUGCAAGCUUUUCCAGGCCGACAACAUCUACCACUUCUGUCAAAGGAUCCUAUCCUUUUCUCUUUGGUAAUGUCUCUCCUUUUCUCUGUUUACAUAUCAUUUUUCAUCUGAUUUUGAGGAACUUAACUUGUUUGCUUUAGUCCUCUAGAAAAGUGACUAAUGCUGCAAUGUUUGCUUUAGUCCUCUAGUCCUCCAGUCCUUUAUGAAUGUGAUCUCGCUACUUUGAUUCUAAUGUCAGCAGCUAAGUUAAAUCUCUUGCUAAUUCUAUGUUGCUUCAGUAAGGUAUUAGUUAGAUCCAAUGAGUUUAAUAAGGACUGAUUCUACCAAUGUCUUGGUGUGUGGUCUCAUGUAAUGUCUACUACUCUCUUUAAUAAGGACUAAUACUCUGUUUUUUUGUGACAGUUUCAACAGGCACAGAGGUAUACUUUCUCAAACGAUUGCACGAAUAAUUAGGAGGAAAUUUGAUGGUCCUUACUAAAGUUGGAACGUUACUCAUCCAUCCAUUCGAGAGAGAGAGAUAUUACAUGAAUUUUGCUGUAAAAUGUCAUAUAGCUUUAAAUGUGUUUUUAUCACUCAUGAAUGACUUAGUAUCUAUGCUUACUUAACUCUUUUGUAUUAUGUAGCGGAAGUUCAACUGGGAUAGUGAUAUUACUGAGUUUGUUAAAGAUGGAUUCUUGGUAAUAGCCAAGAAACGGAUGAAAGGGAUUGUGAGUCAAGCUAAGAGAAGUGGUACAUAACCUAUUUGGAUUAAGAAUACACUGUGGGCUCGGGAGCUUGUUCAUUGGAACGACUCUGAUGUAAUAGAGAAGAGGUCAAAUGCUUCACAGAGCAGAAACUCCGAUCAUGACGGUCUCGGAGUCCCCAAACAUCUAGCUGGUCAGAAAUCAUUUUUGCAAGUUCAUCAAGAAAUGGUAAUACUUCUCUGUCCAUCAAAACAAUUCACUGCACUUAAUUUCAGAUAUUGGUUUCUUGAUUUUAACUAGUUUCAUUUGCCUUGUAGGAGGAAUAAUUAGGGCGCCCUGUAUCACUUUGCGAAGUGUUUAUGCGAACACAUACUCGAGCUGACGGAUCAUUGGUUGAUCAAAAAGCUAAACAAGUAGCUGGGAACUAUGAGAAGACGUUAGAAGAGAAACUGUCUGAAAUUGACGAGGAUGGUCCAUAAACUUCUUCUGAAAAUUCAACUCAACGUACUCUCAACAUUGGUGAAAAGAAUGACAUCUUUAUUAAGGUAAUUCUUUAGUACUCAUAAUUUGUUAAGCAUAUGACGCUUGUUUGUUAUAGGUGUGAUUUUCCUUGUGCUUUUUCAUCUCUUCAUUUACAUGAUAAAUGUAUAAUACUUGUUGUUGGUGUGGAUACUGAUGGUUCUCUAUUUGGUCUGUAUUUUCUGUUGCUGGUCUGAAUUUUGUUGGUCUUAAAAUUUGGUUUUGUUGAAUUUUGUUUGUUUUAGUGUACUGAAACAGAUGACAAGGGCAACCCUUUUUCCCUGGGAUCACUUAUGGAGACACUGAAGAGAGGGAAAAGAAAACAAGCUUAUGAAAGCUCUUCUUUAUCAACAGUUUUGGAGCUUCAAGAAAAACUUCGUCGCAACAUGGCUCAUCAUGAGGCUGAGAAUGCAUGACGUGAAGAGGAGCACGACAAAUGCAAAUGCAGUUGCAAAAGCUUUUCCUCUACAUGAAAGACAAAGAUCCAGAAUUUGCAUCUUUUCUGGUUUCUUCUCCAACUGUACCUGCAACUAUAGCUGACACCACACCUGCAGCCACCAGACCACCAACCACUGCACCAGCCACUGCGACAAGUACUUGAACCAGCCACUUCACCAGCUGCCGUGAUAGGUUCUGCAUGUGCCACCUCGUUUGGCACCACACCAGUUCCAUAACCCCUUUGUCUAACGCUUCCUACUCAUAAACAUGAUAUGCUUAACUUUUGAUGUAAUUUUUAUGUUAACGUUUGGUUUACUUUUUGUUAUGAACAAUUAGGAUAUUUAUUGUAUGAUUAGGAUGAUGGUUUCUUUGUAAAUAUAUGAUUAGGAUGAUAUUUAUCUUAAUUAUUUGAGUUUUAAAUGUUAUAGUUCGUAAUUUAUUUAGAUUAGUAAUCAAAUUAGGUCAAUAAAACAAGAUUCUUGGAUGCCAAAAUAUCACCAAGUUGAGACCAUUUCAAUUUACAUAUACAACCAAACUAGUUGCAUAAUGGUUACAAUACAAAACUACUAUCAGACUGUAUAUAUUGGGUCUUAAAUUAGUCGCAAAUUUUAAACACCCAUUUGUGACUGUAUUGUAACUGAAAGAAGUAUUACGUCUGAUUAUUAAAGGUCUGUAAAACGUCGCUUAUUAACGACUACAUUUUACAGUCAUAAAGUGGUCAUACAUUUGCGACUUUUUCAGGACUAAUAUAUGUAGUGACCAUUUUUUAGUGACCAUCUGUUAUAGUCGUGAAAUAGGUGUUUGCGACCAUUUUAUGACGUUACUCGGAGUCGCAAAUGACGUGUUUUCUUGUAUCAUGGGUUAAAAACAGAAAUAUGUACUAACCCCAAAGAUAGAGGGUACAGUUCUGCAGAUACGGAAAUAACACACGAAAAUCUUGUGAAGUUGGUUCUCGAUGGCUACGAAUUGAAGGAAUUGAGCCAUUAGGUAAAGCUGAGCUACAUGUUCUCGUUAGAAUAGCUCUGCCAAGCCUAGAAAUAGUAAGCGUUAAGUCAACCAUGGCGCUGGCAUAACUUGGCCAAACCACAAAUUUAUCUUCGUGAAGUCAGCUAUGUUGUUAGAAUAACUCAGCCAAACCUCGAAUUAUCUGUGAUAAGUCAACCAUGUCGCUAGCAUAACUCGGACAAACUUCAAAUAUGGUAGAUGUGAAUAUUUGAUACACUCAUGUAAUUAAAACACUUUAAUAAGAUGUAAUUAAAAUUUAUAUUUACUUUAAUAAACCAGAUAAUGAUCAUGAAAUUAGCUCUUGUUUGUACUUUUUAAACAUAUCCAACAAAAUGAUAAACCCCAAACUUUAUACUUAGCUUCCAUUCCUAGCCAAUUGAUCAAUAUAAAAUGUGAAUGGGUUGUAAGUGUGAAAAUUUUAUUGUAUUUUAAUAUUAUAAAUCUUAACAUUCUUAUAACCAAUACUAAUUGUAACAUACAAAUGUCCCUUUAAAUUAAAAGUUUACUCAUAAGUCAGCAGUGAAAAGUAAAUAACACAGCCGUGACGUAUUAUUUUACAGUCAAACACAAAACUUUGAAUUAUUUUGAAUACUGUUUUGGAAAAUUUGAUUAUUUUGGAUAAAAAAAUUUGAAUAGUUUUGAUUAUUUUUAAAAAAGAUAUUAAUUUAUGAAUUUAUUAUGAGUGAGCGUGUGAAAAUGUGUACAUAAUUUUUGUGGGCGUUUCCACAAAAACACUUUUUAUAAUCUCGAAAAUGUAUAUCAUAACCCAGCUGUAAUAUAGAAUAACUCUGUUGUAAUGUAGCAUAACUAAGCCGAAAUGUGACAUAACUCAGAAAAAAAGUUAAAAACAACUUUUCGUANNNNNNNNNNNNNNNNNNNNNNNNNNNNNNNNNNNNNNNNNNNNNNNNNNNNNNNNNNNNNNNNNNNNNNNNNNNNNNNNNNNNNNNNNNNNNNNNNNNNCUUUGUUAUUUUUGUCGGAAAACGAAUAGUCCCCACUCGAGUUCAGACGAAAUGCGACAGCAAUGAGAAGCGGUGAUGGUUUUUUGUUUAGUUGUGGAAUCUUCGAGAGAGGGAACGAUGCUUUCUUUUUUGUGUUCCUGAACAAUGAUCCAAACGAUUCACUUUUCUCCUUUUUUAAUCAUUAAUGACAGAGUACAUAUUAAUAAUGACGUGGAUAUUUUGGUUAUGAAGUGGAUAUUUUGGGUAUAAUGUGGAUUUUGAAGUAUGACAUGAAAUUUUUUAAUGAAAAGAUAACCAAAUCUGUUAAUUUUAUUUACACCCAUGACAGUAAACAUAUGAGUAAAUUUAAGAAAAAAAUUACAAUCUAGUAAUAUUCCAACAAUUGUGCUAUAUCUCAUUAAUAAUUUCUAAAAAGAAAUGUAAAAGUAAAUAACAUAGUAUUAAAAAAUCUUCUAUCUUUUAUGUUCAAUUCUCUCAUUUUCUUGGGUUAUCCUCUUUUAUAUUUUCUUGGCUUUCAUCUUCUAUCAAAAUGUCAAAUCAUUUUUGUUGGAGAGAAUCAAAGAAAAUAGACAGAUUCAAUUACCAGAACAUAACGCUUUCAGAUUGAGGAUCCAAUCAAAAUUAACCAAUUGUAGAAUCUUAACACAUUAUGCAUAGCUAUAAUUUGCUUCAUAAUUGCAUCUAAAUAUCAUUUUCCAAUAAAGAGGUAAAAAUAAACGUGCCAUACUUGAAAAAAUGCCAUAUCACGUCACUUUACGAUCAGUUUGGUCAUUUUUAGUCUUUGUCAUGCUACUAGGCUUAAACGGUAGAUAAAGAUAUGUUAAACAUGAGAAUAAGUUUGGAUAUCUGCAAGUUAACUACACACCACAAUUAUAGAUUUCAAGCAUCAUCAUGUAAGACAAAUAUGCUCCUACUUGAAAUCGGUUGUUCUAAAUAAUAAUCUGAAGAGAUUUAGCCACAAUAUAAAGUUUAUCUUCAAUUAUUUUCAUGCGAGACUUCGCUUCAAGUAUCUCAGAGUUAAUUCUUAUCUCUGAUUCUAGACUCUGAAAGUAUUUGGACGGUGAUGGACCACGAAUACUUGUGCUCGGACCGAAUACUUAUUCAAACGCAUCCUUAGGACCAGACUCACUACUUGAUGAUUCACUUUUAAUAUUCUGAUUUAUUACGUGUGUAAGCUUAUCUUACAUGUUUCAAAAAUCCUAUGUAAGAAGACUAAAACAGAGAAUAAUAUAAAGUAAACUAAUCCACAAACUAAUCCUAUGUAAGAAGACUAAAACAGAAAACAUAGAACUUACUGGCUACUGCACAUAUUCUUGCUUCAUUGCUGAUCAUCAAACUUCCAUCUGAUCUUGUUCAUGAUGCAAUGAACAUUUCUGUUCAACUUGGUUCUUUGCUAGUCUCCUCUUCCUAUAAGAUGUAUACCUAAUUAAAACAUUAUUACAAAAUGUACUAUAGUUCUUACAAUCAGUGAAAGUCACUAAACGAGAGUGUUCAAAAAAGUGAAACAUUGACUUACGAUCUCAUAAGCCUUUCUUGCAAAACUCUUUUUUUCCAAAUGCAUGUAAUAUCUUUAAUUUGCUUCGAUUUUUAUUAUUACGCGCUCUCACUUUCUACAAUCAUAAAAAUGUACCUGAUUGAAAGAUAAAUAUAUUUAUAUGGAAAAUAAACACAUCAAAACAGUAACUCUUACCUUAGGUUCAUAAGUGAAUUGGAUAUGUACAAAAUGUUUUCAUUAGUCAUCUGGAUUCUUUUAGAGUAUUUUAUUUAUGGAUUCUCCUAAGACGUUGUUUCAAGUGUUUACAUCUACCUCCUAAAGUAGACAAUGCAUACUUUUUCCUCUUCUUUGGUAGGAUCAUCAAACCAAAAAGAUUUAUGUUUCAAACAAAAAAUAUUGGUUACGACAAUCAAUUAACAUAGUGUCAAUGAGUAUAGUAAGACUAGACUAAUGAAAUGAUGCAAAAAUCGAAGCCAAAAUUAACCAGGAGCAAACCAGCCCACACACCAUGCUGGUUCACAUGGAGCAUUUAGGAGAAUACUUGCCUAUAUGGAGUGCUGAACAAGCUCAAGCCCAAGGUGAUAACUUCAUAUUUUUACUCUUUUAAGCAUAUGUUUUGUGCAUUGUUUGCAUAUUUAAAGUCUUGUUUCUUAUGAGUAUCAGCCCCUUUUCCUUCAUAUUUCACAUUUAGGAUAUUUAGCAUAGGCAUUCGCAUAUCAUUUGCAUUUUAGAGUAAAAACAGGUACACUCAGACACUUCAGAGUAUAGACCCGAUCUAGCGUAUCCGGCCCGACCAAGGUGAGCACGAUCAAGCACCCUGACCUAGAAAAGGAAGCUGGACUCAGACGAGCCGCGAGAGGACCCGAACGAGCCCAACAUGAACUUAACCGAGCUCUUUUCAAACCGACUUUGUAAUUUUUCUUUUUCUGUUUUAGGGCUUCUAGUACUUAGUAUAAAUAGAGACCUUGCGUCAUUAAGAGAAAAAAUCGAGUUUCAUUAGGUUUUUUCUCUAUAGCCACCAAACAUUUCCAGAAACUUGUAAUCUUAAUAUCUUUUGAUCUGUUGAGUUUUUAGUGUUGCUUCUAUAUAUUUUUUUGCUCCUUAGAUCAUUAUCUAUGUAGUUAUGCAUGAUUUAGCAAUUUUUGGGUUUAUGUUCUUCAUGAUGAAUUCCAGAUCCGAGUAGUUUUCUAGGUUUAGAGGAUGGGUUAGAUGAUGAGGAAUCUUAGUUUCUAGGGAUGUUUAAGUAUAGAUUCAGGUAGAUACCUUCUGGAUUAGGAGAUUUAAUUGCUAGUCUUUGCAUUAAUCAUGUGGGAUAAGAUCCUAGACACUCCAGCACCCAAAAAGUGUUCAACGGAAUGUCUGAUCCACUAAUGCCAGAGAUCUAUUUACUUACCCAAGAGGUUGGCUGUUAAGGAGUAGAUUGACAUAAAUGAGUUUGUUCUUUAUGCCCAUCUACUGCAUGGUUCAUCAAUGAAAGUUGAGAUUAGGAAGUGCUUUAGAUUUGAUAAUCUUUGCCAAGAGAUUGGAAAGAUUAUAAGUGGUUCAUUGUCUAGGAUUAUAUCUAUUUGAGCAUGUUAAGCAUCCCCAAGAGAUUAAGAGGAUUCAUCACUCCAUUAGCCCAUCCUUAAGACCUUUUUUUAUCUUAUUGGUUACCUAUUUUCAUUUCUGCUUUCAAUAUUGCUUCUGUAGUUCUUGCAUUCUUAGUUUCGCUUCAGUAGUAUUCUUAGAUCUUUUAGCUUAUCUUUAGUACUGUUCUUAGAUAUUUUAGUUUAUCAUUCUGUAGUUUACUUUUAUGCAUUUGAGUUCUUAAUCCCAAAAUUUCAACUGCCUGGCUUGACUUGAUACUUAUGUUAUAUCUUGAUUAUUUACAACACACUCAUUUGGAUCGAUUAACCUCAUGUACUACAUUGCACUGGGGAAUUGAACUCCAAGACACACAAAACCCUUGUUUGACUAGGGUCAACUAUCCACCAGAAAUUUAACACUAAGAAGACUAAUGGUUCAGGAAGAAUCAUCGACCAAUCAACUGAUUCGACGAUGGUAUAUCCUGACAUACUAGCUGAAGUACUUGCUGACGGAACUGAAGUUGUACAAGACCAGAAGAAGUUAUUCAAAGAAGGUUAUCUUGUACCACGUAAUGGUGUGUAUGUACAUUUAAAUAGGAGCCUAGAAAACACUCUAAACCAUUCAACUCCCAUACCAUUCAAGAGUUGGUGCAUCCAUCUCACAUGAUCUUUUGGAGCUUAAAAUGGAUGUUUCCUUAAAUGGCUCAUUCCAAAUAUUUCAAUGGAGACCUGGAGAGUUUCAAUAUCACUUAGAGGCUUCAUUACACCCUCUAGGAUGCACCAUAUCACACUUGAUCAGGAGGAUCACGUUUGAGCUCUACGUACCGUAUUUGGACCCAUUUGGCAUUAAUACACAACGGCUCCUUCCUUCUUUGUUUGUGUGCGUGUUAAAGGCUCUUACUAACAUCAAGAAGCUCCCAAGACACUCAACAUAUCCACCAAAACCUUCCAGAUACAAGCCCAAUCAUAUAUCACCUCUAAAUUUUGGGUUAUAACCCUUUGUUUUUUAAUAUUUGCAUAAUUAAACCCUUGCCAUUUGAACAUAAUAAAAUUUAAAGUAGAUUAUCAAAUCCGAAAUUGGAAACAAACAUUUAUUACAGCAAAAAAAUUUCCUAAACUCUCUCUAUAAUAAAUUGAAUAUCUCUCCAAUAUAUUUAUAUAAUUUUAUUUGUUUUAAAUUUAUAUUAUUACAUAAAACAUAUGUAUAAUAAAAAUACAAUUUUUUUUUGCUGUUUAAAUUUCAAAAACUGACGUAUUGUAACGCCCGUGUUCUGGAAAAUAAUAAAGACUUGAGUUUGUAGAAGAAUUGGGGUGGAGUUUGUUUAAUUCUGGGUUAUUUACUAAGCUGGUCGAUUUGUUAAUUGAAACAUAGGUGGUUUAUUUAAUGUCGGUUUAUUUAAAUCCUCGUUUAAUCAAGUUAAACCAAAAACCCAAUUUCCUCUCUCUUUUGCUAUGUCGUUGCUUUGUUAUUAGAAAUUAGUUAGAGAAAAGCUAAAGGAAAAGUUCACUUGUGAGAAGCAGAUGGUUAGCUUUGGUUUGAUGUUUAAGGCAAAAGAAGCAGAUUCGUCACGUUUUUGGAGAAAAGGGUUACGACGUAUUGAUAACCUUAUAUUUUUAUACUCUUAAGCAUAUGUUUUGUGCAUUAUUUGCAUGUCUAGGUCUCUACUUCUUAGGGUUUCUAGUCUCUUUGCAUUAUAUUUCGCAUCUAGGAUCUUUAGCAUAGGGAUUUGCAUAUCAUCUGCAUUUUAGAGCAAAAACAGGUACACUCGGACAUUGAAAAGCAUGGACCCGAUCGAGUGUGUCCAACCCGACCAAGCGAGCACGAUCGAGCACCCGGGCUCACAAGAGGAAGCUGAACACGGACAUGUCGAGCAUGGACCCGAACGAGCCCAACAAGCACCCGACCGAGCUCACCUUAAACCGACUUUGUAAUUUGUCUUUUUGUAUUUUAGGGCUUCCUGCCCUUAGUAUAAAUAGACCACUUGGGUCAUUAAGCUAAAAACAAAUUUUCAUUAGGGUUUUUCUCCGUAGCCAUCAAACAUUUCCAGAAACUUGUAAUCUUUAUAUAUUUUGAUCUAUUGAAAAUUUGGAGUUGUUUCUUUACAAUAUCUUGCUCCUUAGAUCAUUAUCUAUCUAGUUAUGCAAGAUUCAAAGAUUUCUGGGUUUGUGUUCUUCAUGAUGUACUCAAGAUCUGAGUAGUCUUUCUAGGGUUUAUAGGAUGGGAGGAAUCUUAGUUUCUAGGGUUGCUUAAGUAUAGAUUUAGGUAGAUACCUUCUGGAUUAGGAAAUCUUAAUGCUAUCUUAGCAUUAACCAUGUGGGAUUAGAUCUUAGACAUUCCAGCACUCAACAAGUGUUCAAAUGGAAUGUCUGAUCAACUAAUGCCAGAGAUCUAUUUACUUACCCAAGAGAUUGGUUGUUAAGGAGUAGAUUGACAUUAAUGAGCUUGUUCUUUAUGCCUAUUUAUAGUAUGUUUCAUCAAUGAAAGGUUAGAUUAGGAAGUGCUAUAGAUCUGAUAAUCUUUGCCAAGAGAUUAGACUGAUUAGGUUAAGUGGUUCAUUGUCUAGGAUUAGAUCUAUCUGAGCCUGUUAAGCAUCCCAAAGAUACUAAGAGGAUUCAUCACCCCAUUAGCCCAUUCUUUAUGCCUAUUUAUAGUAUGUUUCAUCAAUGAAAGUUGAGAUUAGGAAGUGCUAUAGAUCUGAUAAUCUUUGCCAAGAGAUUGGACUGAUUAGGUUAAGUGGUUCAUUGUCUAGGAUUAGAUCUAUCUGAGCAUGUUAAGCAUCCCAAAGAUAAUAAGAGGAUUCAUCACCCCAUUAGCCCAUCCUUAUGACCCUUUGUUUAUCUGAUUGAUUAUCUGCUUUUAUUUACUGCUUUCAAUUCUGAUUCUUUAGUUUACUUUUAUGCUUUAGAGUUUAUUAAACCAACCCCUGAACUACUUGGCUUGACUUGAUUAAAUCUGUUAUAUCUUGAUUGUUUGAAAUUCAUCCAUCUGGAUCGAUACCUCUUAUGCUACAUCGCUAAGGGGAAUUGAACUCCAAGGGUAUAAAAAUACCUGUUUCAAUUUGGCGCCGCUGCCAUUUGGAUGUUAUUUGUUCCAUUUAGGAUCCCAGUUCUAUCUAGAUCAAGUUCUUUUACUUUCGUUAUCCUUGGAAAAUCUACCUUUGCUACUUGUCUGUCUUGCAUUUCAGGUACACUCGACCGAGCUACACUCUGCACUCAAUAAGUUUUUGAUGAACCAGCAGAAGAAUGUACACUUUGUUCAAGAGGAGGAGACCUUCCAACCUAAUGAUGGUGAUUGUGCUAAUAUUGAGGAGGUGAGCUAUAUCCAGAAUCAAGGAGGUUACCAAAAGGGUUACAACAACUACAAACCCAACCCAAAUCUCUCUUAUAGAAGCACCAACGUCGCGAACCCCCAGGAUCAAGUCUAUCCGCCUCAACAACAACAGUUCCAGAACAAGCCAUAUGAUGGCUUUAAUAAAAAACAAGCUUUUCAACCUCAACAACAGUCCCAAGGUUCUUAUCAACAGCAUAUAUCACACCCUCCAGGAUUCCAACAGCACCCUACUAAUGUGCACCCAGAACAAGAUAUUCAAACAACACUUCAUCAGCUUCUCCAAACACAGAACAAUAGCCGCCUGGAACAAGCCAAGCAGUUAGCCGAGCUUCGCAACGAGAUGCGUGAGUUUAUACAGGAGCUCCACCAAAAGUUCGAUUUUUUAAACAAAAGGGUAGUUAUCUUAGAAGGCAACCAACCCUCCACAUCUUCUGGCCAACCCCAGAAAAGUCUAUCAUGAACCCUAAAGAAUUUGCUACUGCUCAUGCGAUUACUCUGGGAAAACCAUUCCCAAUUAUCACUGAGGACAGUGAGGUUCAAGAGGGUGAGGAUUCAGCACAAAUGUGUACCCUACACGGUGAACCCGAUCGAGUCUACAACUGGCACGACCGUGCCAAUGGUGAACCCGAUCGAGUCUACCAAAGACUCGACCGAUCUGAUCAAAGGUACCAUGAACCCGAUUGAGCCUGAUAUCGUGUACGCUGCUUGUCUGACAGGUUGUGUGAAUUAAAUUCCGACGAGCCUCUUCGCCCGAUCAGAGCUACCAGCCCCAAGCCUUCGAAUCGAAGACCACUACUCUACCCUGAAGAAUCUAAAGCAGAAAUCAAGGAAGAAUAUAACCACAUUCUCGAUUCACUAUCAGGGAACGAUCAGCUGAAGGCUUUGGUGGAUGCUUUUGCCAACAUUCCCUCCUACAGGGUGAUUCUCAAAGAAGUCCUAUUGGAAAGGAUGCAACAAAGGAAGAGUUGGAUUCCACCCUCUCAAGAUUCUGAUUUCUCCAAGAAGAUGGGGGAUCCUGGAGCUUUCACACUCCCCUGCUCAAUCCGAUCAACGAUCUUCAACGAGUGUUUAUGCGACACAGGCGCUUCGAUUAGCUUGAUGCCCCUCUCAAUAACUCAGCGGAUGGGCUAUACAACCUUUACACCAUGCAGCCUGACGAUUGUGAUGGCGGACAGAAGCUCUAGACAACCCGUAGGGGUAUUAGAGAAUCUCCUUGUUGAAGUUGGAGCAGUAAAGAUUCCCACUGAUUUUCUGAUUGUCAAGAUGGAAAGGGAACUUCAGUAUCAACUAAUUCUAGGAAGACCAUUUCUAGCCUCAGCAGGUGCACUUAUUGAUAUGAGAAUGGGGGUCAUGACUCUUGAUCUUGUUAGAGGGACGAGGAUGAAGAUCAAUAUGGCAUAUCCGCACCAAAGUACAACGUUCAGAAUAGAAGAAACCUCGACCUCUUCUCCAACUUGUGCUGAGCUCCAGGAGAUCAAGACUCUCAAGAAAGACUUAAGGCGGCUAGCAACCACCAUUCAGGGAUUAACCGAGGAAAUUGUGAUGUUGAAGAAGAAGAACGACAUCUUGACUUCUAGGAAAGCAAAGAGGGUAUUUACUUUCAAGAAGAGACAUGCUGCAAGGAAGAAGUAUCAGAUACAUUGGUCAUUGGCAUUGGAGAGAAUGGUUGAACCUCUCCAUUGUUCAAACACUUCGUGAGGAUUAUACCAAGUCAAGCUUAGCGACUAUAAACAAGCUCAAUUGGGAGGAAGUCCCAAAGGUAUCCCUGUACAUAUUUCUUUAAGUUUUUAAAAUUUGAUGUUCUUUUUAGUUUGAUGUAUUUUCAGGUUUGAAUGUGAGUGAAGAAAGGUGUUAUUGGGCCAAGAUAAGGGAAGAAGGAAGAAAGAGUCAAUUUGAGCCUUAAAAGCCCAAUUUCACAAGCCCAUUUGGUCGAGUCAACACCCACACGGACGGGUCAACGCGAUUCGAUUGAGUCAGUCUCGACCGUCUGAUCGAGUCAAUCUGAGCCACCCGAUCGGGUUCAUCUCAGCCGUCCGAUCGGGUCAAAGGUAACGGUCAGGUCAAUGGUCAGCUCAAUUUGAAAUUCAAAUUUUGAACCAAGCCCGACCAAAAACUCUCCUCUUUCAGAUUUUUGUCCCCUCUCACCCUCUUUAUAACAUNNNNNNNNNNNNNNNNNNNNNNNNNNNNNNNNNNNNNNNNNNNNNNNNNNNNNNNNNNNNNNNNNNNNNNNNNNNNNNNNNNNNNNNNNNNNNNNNNNNNUUUUGCUAAAAAUUCAUAUAUCUCUCUAGAAUUCUCUCUUCCUUCUCUCUAGAUUCUUGGUUGAUAGAAUUUCUGGGUUUGAUUUCAUUUGCCCCUUGUUCCUCUCAUUCUCUGUUUUGUUGAUAAACUUGCUUUCGAUUCUUCACAUUUUCUGGGUUUGUUUGUAUAAUUGAACCUUGUGUUCUUGUUUUCUGGGUUUAUUUUCAAGAUUGUUCUUGGUGUUCUUAUUUUCUGGGUUACUAACCUAUUAAAUUUGAGUUUUGAGUUUCUCAUUCCCAGAAAACAAAAAUAUCUUCAAGGAUUCCUCAACCCAGAAGGAAGAGCCUCUCAAGAUCACAACGAGAAGCUCAUCGCAGACAAUCUGCCAAAGAAAUUGCAAGAAAUUUCUUGACAAUCCAAGCCACUGGAACCGGACUCGAUCGGGUCAGAAGCGGAAGAAGAGAAGCCCGAGCACGAACCCGAUCACCCGAUCGGGCCAGUCGAUCGGGUUAGACCCACCCGAUUUCCAGAGAAGAAGUUUCGAUGGGGAAGAGACCCGCAGAUGAGGAUGUUGAUGAACCGAUGGUGGAUAUGGAGCCUAGAAGGGUAGUGGCUCCAAGGAAGACCAAGAACAUGCCCCCUCCAGAAGAGCUUUAUGCAAUUUUUAAGAGGCAAAAGUUUGUUGGAACCCGCUAUCCUCACCGGCAAACGAUGAAGGAGCUGGGCUUAGCAAGAGAUGUCGAGUUUCUGUUCCAGAGAAGCGGCCUUGGCUCAUUCAUGACUAAAACCUUGGAAGCCUACGAUGAGGAGACGUGCUACGUGUUGGCUUCACUUCAGCUCCAUUUCUACGAGGAUGAAACCGAUUUCCACUCAGAUGACUGCCUUGGAUACAUAACCUUUAGCGUGAGGGGCACUACCUAUUCUCUCACGUUUAAGGAAGUUGAGAACCUCUAUGGGUUCUUGCAAGCAAGCGGGAUGAGCCAAGAUGUGCUUAAGGAGGAGAUCAAGUCUGUUUGGAAAACAAAUGGAGAUGGGAAGGAGUACACCUCUUCGAAAUCCAAGAGCGCCCAAAUCCGAAAUCCAGCUUUGAGGUAUUUCCAUAAGUCCUUGGCUUGUACGAUUUUUGCUAGAAAGGAGACCGGGAAUGUGAACGAGAGUGAGAUCCAGCUCAUAGAUAUAGUAUUGAGUGGUGUAUUGCCAAGUACUAGGGAUGGUAGAGAACUAGUAGGAGAUAAAAUGGAUGGUAGCAUGGUCUCGGUUCUGUUAAACUAGCUGAUGUACUGCAAGGAUUGGGUAUUUAAAGCUGUUAGGAGAGGUGUGCAAGGAGAGCUCAGUAUUGGUGGACUAGUCACCCCGCUAUUGGUAGCUUGUGAUGUUGAAUUACGGGGGAAGGUUUACAACGCUCGUUGGAUUGACAUUGAGACUUUAACAAGGACGCACUUCCUUGAUAGCGAGUGUCCCAACGGGUUUUAUCUAUAUAAGUUCACCCACCCUUCACUUGGAGCAGCAAGAAUGGUGUUGCCUAACACCGAGCUUACAAAGAUCAGAUUGGGUGCUAAUAUCGAAUUUUGGCCACCCGUCUCAGCGUUAUAUGACCCGAGGUCAGUCCAAGAUCCAGUUCCUAGCUUCGAGCCAGUCCAACAAACCUAUGCACCUGAGAUCAGAGAAGAAAAGCAUGCUAGGGAAGACCAGGAAGAGGACUUCUAUUUUGACGAUUGGGAAGAGUCCUCUAGGCAGUCAAGGAGGGUAAAGGAAGCUCAUGAAAAGAUUAGCAUCCUUCAGAAGUGGAACAAGUUCCAAAGCAAGACUAUCACGGCAUUGAAGAACACUGUGAAGGAUCUUGCUGGAACAGUUAAGGAUAUGGGGGAGCAGAUCAAGGAGCUUCAGAACAAGGUUGGAUGCUCAACCUCCACUACAGCCAUGUCUAGUAAUUUGGGGAGGAGUGCAUCAGUCAGGACACAUACCAAAUCCAACCUACCAGUUAGCCCGCCUAGAGCUUCAUUUGAUCCGAGGAGAAGUCUGUUCAGAACCAGAAGAGAACCGGGAGCUGACACGAGCACCUUACCCGAACGCACACCCGAUCGGGCCGGCUCUUCACACCCGGUCGGGUCAGCCUAUCACCUCGCAGUCGACUCUGAAAAUAUCCAAACCGAGCAUGUAGCAGCAGGCCUCGACGUCAUGAGCUCGUGGUUUGGACCACCACCCAAGAGGUAAUUCUAUUACCCUUAAACUUUGUAAGUACUUCCUUGCAUUUUUAAAAUUUCUUUUUGAUCCUAAGCCUUCCUUCAAAUUUUUAUUACACAAGUGAAUGUGUAAUUUAAGUUUGGGGGAGAGCUUAAGAUAGCAUUUGAAAUGUUUUCUAUUUUCUUAUUUCGAAUUUUUAGCAUCUAGUCUUGCAUUCAUCUAUGUGCAUCAAAAACCCCUAAAAAUUUGAAAAAUUUCAGAAAAGCCUUUAAAAAACAGAGUGUUCAUAUAGUUGCAUUUGCAUAAGUCUUGCUUUAAAAAACAGAGUGUUCAUAUAGUUGCAUUAGUCUUGCUUUAAGGUUGUUGCAUUUAGGAUCAUUGCAUUAGCAUAGGGGAUUAUGAUGAUUAUAACCAAAGAACUUGUUGUUUCAUUAGAUUUAACACCAAUGCCUUCGUUCAUAGUUGUUUAAUGCUUUCAGUUGAGCUUGAAAUGAGACCGCACCAUUCUUUGAUCGCAUGAUUUGAAUUCUAGUCUAAACUGAAGCUUGCUUUGAUAUGAUGCCAUCCUUUACUGAUAAGAACCUUAACUUGAAUUGAUAAUUAUCUAAUUGUGAUUUGUUUAAAACUCAUGGAUACCUUGUAUACAUACUUGGAUCUUCUUUCCCUCUUUUUACCACUCUCUUGUUGAUCCAAGUAGCUGGUCAUAACCUUGACCAGUUAACCACACUCUAAAAACCUUAACCUUUCCUUCAAGCCUUUGUUUUAAUUCUGAGUGGAAGGCCUAUUUUUUGGGAUUGAACUUUAAGAGAACGUGUUAGGUUUGAGCCGACAGGAAUAGGGUCUUGAGUAGUUCUGAUUUGCAUUUUUCGGAUCAGAUAGGACUAGGAUGGAUUCUACUUGGGUUUUGGGAUUUGUUGGGAUGGUGAAAAGAAAAGAAAAGAAUAAAUGAAUGAGUUGAGUCUUUAGGAGAAUAAAAGUUUCAGAAAAGAUCAAGGUUCUAGUGAAAGAUAAGUGGGGAAUGCAAAGUACAAAAGAAAUGGUUCUAGAUUUUAAAAGAAAGAGAGAAAAGUGUGAAGAUAGCAAAAUGCUUCUAUGUCUUAAGUAUUAAGAAGAAAGAGAACCAUAGUGUUUAUAAAGAAAACCCCCUAUCCACAAGUUUAUCAUAAGAAACUCUCCUUAGACUUAGAACAAAAAGGGAAAUUGGGAUGAAAAGAGUUAAAGGGUAGAAUAGGAUCAUAUGAGUUUAGAUGAUUAGGAUAUAACUUGGGUACUUUGGGUAGUCAAGAUGUUAUUCCUGUAUGCAUUUGUUGGUCCUUACCUUUAGCAUUUUCCCAAAAUCUCAAUCUUGUUCAUAGAGAGAUCCCAGCACUUGAACGAUUAAACCCUCACCAAAAAGAGUCUCUAUUUAUCUCUUAAACCUUUUACUUGCCUAGCCAAAUGAGUUUAAAUUCAAAUUCACAUCCAGAUUCACUGUUGCUACUUAAUGAAUGUUAAAAAGGAUGGCUGACUUGAUUGCUUGUCUAGGUUAUGAGGCUGAUGACAUCUUGUGUUGAAAUAGGAAUGGCUAAUGUCUUCAGAGUACAGCCUUUGAAUUGCAUUCUAGAAUUACGAACUAGGACAUUGGUGUUAAACUCUUUUGCAGCAAGUUUUGGUUCUGAGUCCCCACCUUCAAACCUCUCUCCCUACUUUGAAUUUGCUUGAGGCCAAGCAAAGAAUAAGUUUGGAGGAGUUGAUAACCUUAUAUUUUUAUACUCUUAAGCAUAUGUUUUGUGCAUUUUUUGCAUGUCUAGGUCUCUACUUCUUAGGAUUUCUAGUCUCUUUGCACUAUAUUUCGCAUCUAGGAUCUUUAGCAUAGGGAUUUCAUAUCAUCUGCAUUUUAGAGCAAAAACAGGUACACUCGGACACUGAAAAGCAUGGACCCGAUCGAGUGUGUCCAGCCCGACCAAGCGAGCACGAUCGAUCACCUGGGCUCACAAGAGGAAGCUUAACACGGACGAGCCGAGCAUGGACCCGAACGAGCCCAACAAGCACCCGACCGAGCUCACCUUAAACCGACUUUGUAAUUUGUCUUUUUGUGUUUUAGGGCUUCCUGCCCUUAGUAUAAAUAGACCCCUUGGGUCAUUAAGGUAAAAACGAGUUUUCAUUAGGGUUUUUCUCUGUAUCCACCAAACAUUUCCAGAAACUUGUAAUCUUUAUAUCUUUUUAUCUAUUGAGAAUUUGGAGUUGUUUCUUUACAAUAUCUUGCUCCUUAGAUCAUUAUCGAUCUAGUUAUGCAAGAUUCAAAGAUUUCUGGGUUUGUGUUAUUCAUGAUGAACUCCAGAUCUGAGUAGUCUUUCUAGGGUUUAUAGGAUGGGUUAGGUNNNNNNNNNNNNNNNNNNNNNNNNNNNNNNNNNNNNNNNNNNNNNNNNNNNNNNNNNNNNNNNNNNNNNNNNNNNNNNNNNNNNNNNNNNNNNNNNNNNNGUUUCAUCAAUGAAAGUUGAGAUUAGGAAGUGCUAUAGAUCUGAUAAUCUUUGUCAACAUAUUGGACUAAAUAGGUUAAGUGGUUCAUUGUCUAGGAUUAGAUCUAUCUGAGCAUGUUAAGCAUCCCAAAGAUACUAAGAGGAUACAUCACCCCAUUAGCACAUCCUUAUGACCCUUUGUUUAUCUGAUUGAUUAUCUGCUUUCAAUUCUGCUUCAUUUGUUUACUUUUAUGCUUUAGAGUUUAUUAAACCAACCCCUGAACUACUGGGCUUGACUUGAUUAGAUCUGUUAUAUCUUGAUUGUUUGCAAUUCAUCCAUCUGGAUCGAUACCUCUUAUGCUACAUCGCUAAGGGGAAUUGAACUCCAAGGGUAUAAAAAUACAUGUUUCACGUAUCAAAACUAAUGCAAAUGUAAUGAAUUUUGGUAAGGUUAUUCUAAAGGCAUGUAAGCGGAUUCUUCUUUUUACAUAAGUGAAAUUGGAUUAAAAUUGGAUUCUUCUUUUUCCUCACAAAAUGUUCGGCACCACUAUGGAAGAACCCGGAAUUUUUCAUAUCUUUACCCUUCAAAAAGAAUGAAAAUAUGAACCCUACCAAGGCUAGCCAUCCAGGAAUGAAUCCAGACCAUUAAAACCUUUCGAUUGAAGAAAUUGAUCAGCUAUAAAAAGAAGACCUCAUUGACAUUACCGGCACUGAGGAUCCCAUCAAAAGGAAAAAGAAUUCUGCAAACAGAUGCAAGUGAUUGUUAUUGAGGAGCAGUUCUCUUAGAAGAAGAUGGAAAAAGAAAGAAACAUAUAUGCGGAUACAAGAGUGGUGCUUUCAAAGACAGUGAAAGGCAUUACCAUUCGACCUACAAAGAGAUUAUCACAGUGAAAAGAGGAAUUGAAAAAUUCGAGUUUCAUCUAGUUGGUCAACAUUUCCUUAUCGAGAUGGAUAUGUCUUCUUUCCCAAAGAUGAUACAGUUCAAACAAAAGGUCUUCCCACAGUCACAAUUACUUCGAUGGGCAAGUUGGUUCUCAAAGUGGAAGUUUGAUGUCAACCAUAUAAAAGGAAAAGACAACUUUCUUCCAGAAUUUCUUUCAAGAACCCAACGAAAAAUCUUAACCAUCAUUCCAAUUAUCUACACUCUCACGCAAGACAAUCCAGAUGAAGAAUCUCUAAAAAGCAUGAUUACUAAUCUACCUUCAGAGAUGCACGGGGAACUGCUCAACCAUGUUCUCAUAUGUAGGAAGUCCGAACAUUACAUGGUUUUCUAAAGCUAUAUGUCCACAUAUACAGGCUCGACCAAGGUAUUCCCCUUCCUUACUACUAUUAAUAUGAAUCCUGCUCACAAUGGUAAAUUCCCCAAGGAAGCAUAUCAUCUGUUAUGGUAUCUGGCAGACCUCUACAACAUUGCAGUGAUGGUUCAUAACAGCCAGCUACUAAAGUACUUGGCAAAGUGCCUCUUGAAAAGGAGAAAUCCACAGUACAAGAUCCUUUACAAAGUGGCUCACUCUAUUUCAUGACGCUACAUGGUGGCAAGAACAUAUUCGUGCACAACAAAGAUUGGAGAUAUUAGUGACAUUUAAGAUAUCAAAAAUCCAAAAUGAAAAAAAAGGAGAGACAACAGUUCGAAACUCCUAUGAUGCUGAAGUCUUGACGAGCAACAACAAUUAUGCGUUCAGCCCAACUAACUUCCAUCACAGGACAAGACAAAUGGCAAGGCUGAAUGGAUUCAUUGAGUCUGACAUUGACCAAAAUCCUUUUUGUCCCCACACGGCUCACUGGCAUAACAGAUACAUGUACCCACAAGAGUUUUUUGAAGAAAUACGACAAAUACUUUUGGGCUUCCAUGAUCAGUACACGUGUCCCCGUUCCAACCUUGACCAACCAAUAUAUCGAGUUGAAAGGACGAGAUACCAAGUCAGGUAUUUUAUCCCUAACGGAAUCUCCUUUAUGCAUGACGUCUCUGACAGUGAAGAAGAAAGUGACAAUGGAUAAGAUGGAAGUCACCUCUCUUUUGGAGACAGGGGGAAAAGAGAGAAGUAUUGAUGUGAAAUAAAUAAAGACAUGAAGUAAAGUAUCAAGUAAAGUAUUGAUGUGAAGUAUAGUGUGAAGUAGAGUAUUGAUGUGAAGUAUGAUGUGAAGUAAAGUAUGUAUGAUUAUUGUGAAGAAAGAAAUAUGCUAUGUAAUAUUCCUUAGGUCUUGUACUAUAAAUAUCAAGCUUGGUGAGGUUUGUUCACCAUAAGCUGAAGUGUCUAAAAUCUUAAGUCCUAAGAGUCCUUUGUAUUUCUCUAGAGAGUGUUCUUGUGUAAUAAAAGCUUUCUCAUAUAUAUAUAUAUAUAUAUAUAUAUAUAUAUAUAUAUAUUCUCUUCCAUAAUCACUUAAUCUUUUUCAUAUAUUUGUUUCAUAUAUCGCGAUCAUAUAAAACCUCCUACGUGGUUGCAUUGACAUUAAUAAGUUGUUUCUUAAUAUUUGUUUAAUGCAUGUUUAAUCAAAGAGAUUUGAGAUUAGGAAGUAGUUCAAGUUUGAUAGUUUAUGCCUAGAGAUUGGAUUAACUAGUAUUAGAGGUUCAUGGUCUAGGGAUCAGCUUGUACAAUUUUUUAAUCAUCUUAAGUAGAUUAACAUGUUCCCCCUACAUCAAUAACCCAUCCUUAUGAUCUUUUUUUCUAUUUUUGUUCUCUGUAUACUUACUUAUUAUUUGCUUGUUCUGUUAUGUUGUUAGUAUUGAUAGUAUUUAUACUUAUUUCGUUCUAGCUUAUGCUUGACUGUCCAUGUUCUGCAGCUUUAGUUUUCUUGAAUGUUCAACGUGUUCACAUAGGUUGUUAGAAAACAAAAGCAUUUUAUGCUUUGCUUGACUUAAUCAUUUCUGCUAGCAUCUUGACUGCUAGCAUCCACCUGAUUUGACUAAAACCUAUUGUACUGCAAUGACAUGAUAGUACUUUAAUAUCUUAUCUAUAUAAACUAGUACAAAAAUCCCUAAAGCCACUCAAAUUUUUGUGGCUGUUUUUUAAUAUCGUGGCUAUUAGCUAUUAUAGCAAUGCUUGGUGACUAUAAUAUUUCAUGACCAUAACGUCGUAGCUUAAUACAUUUGUGGCUUUUCAUGGCUAUAUAGCCACGAAUUAGUCAGGCGUGUUAUGUGACUCAGAUUAGUCACCUAUUAAUCACGAAAGUUUUAGUGGCUGAGUUAGUCAAGAUUUGGCUACUCUACAUUUGUGAUAAAUAUAUAGCCACACAUUUAUUCGUGGCUACGUUUAGUUAGCCACAUGUUUGGCUAAGCUAGGAUUCGUGUGUGCGGCUUGUUUCUAAUCAUUGCCGACAUCACUGAGUGGCCAAGUGACAAGAUUUUCUGUGCAUAAGCCACAAAUUUAGCCACGUUUUGUGUUCGUGACUAACCACUAUUUAGCCACGUUUUUUGUUAGCCAUGAUGUGAUGUGUAAGUUGGUGGAACAACCACAAUGUCAACCACAUUUGGAUACUCUGGCUAUACUACAGCCACAGAUUAAUAACAUUUGCGUGGCUAUUGUGGUUUUAGCCACGAAGUAUCGUGGCAAUAAUAUAUAUAUAUAUAUAUAUAUAUACUAGAAUUUACCCUGUGGUACACCGCGGAUGUAUAAUUUAAUAUAUUUUUUUGAUUGGUCAUUUUCGUACUUGGUUUAUAUAGUCAAGUUUUUAUGUGUUUAUUUAUUUUGGUUUUAUAUAAUUUAUAAAUUUUUAUUAUAAGUAGAUUCAUAUAUUUAUGUAUUUAAGCCGUGGGGCAUCAUCUUUGUAGGUAAGAAUUGUGUUAAAAUAGGUUAGGUUUGAGUAGGGAUUAUAGUUUCUUUUCAUUUAGAAGAUGGAAUGCAGAAAUUGGGUAAUUAAUGACAAGCAUUGAUAUAGAUAUUGAAAGAAAUAUUGACAUGGAUGGAGCAGAAAAUGCCAGACUUGGUUGUGAAUGAAUAUAUGUUGCUUCAUGAAUACUUAUAAUUCUCUGUUUGACUUAAAUGUUUAUACUUAAAUCGUUUAACACACAUUAUGUAUUAUAUUACUGUAACGUUAACUAUUUUUUAAUUUGUAUUAGGUAAAUGGGACCUAAAAAGAACAAAGGAAGACCUAGGAAGACUAAAGGAAAGGUGCAUGAGAGAUUACAAGAAGAGCAACCAACAGUAGAAGACCAUCAAGCAACAGUUGAUCAACCAACAUUACAUGAUCAACCAGCAUAAAUAAUCACCUUGAUUAUCAACCAACAACAUAUGUUGAACCAGUAGCAUGUGAAGGAAGACUGCACGAAAAAAAACUUUUAAGAGAGCUCGAAUUAUAAGAACCUGAAGAUAAUAACAUAUGUGAACCAAAAUUUUGUUUUAAAAAACACGAGGACUCACAAAUAUGAAAUACAUUGCCAAGGAUCCAGAUAGCUGAGUACGAGUAGACUUCAAUCUUGUGGGAGAACCAUAUAGACUUGGCUUAGUUAAGUUUUCUUCAUACUUAGGCUCUUUAGUUUGCAAGCAUUUGCCGUACACCAUAGAAAGCUGGAUAAAGAUUGGUGAAGAGAUCAAGAUUGUUUUAUGGAAAUAUGUCCAGGUAAAGGGUGACAACUUGUCUGGUGGCAAGUUCAAUUGGUGACAACUUGUCUGGUGGGAAGGUUGUUAAAGGGUGAGGACAUGGGUUCGAGGAACGCCAGGCGCACCAAUAACCUACCUGGUGGGCCAGGGGGUUGCGAGUAAGUGGGCUGUGCAUUUGGGCCCACAGGAGAGAGGUUAGGGUCGAUGCGCUGCAGCGCUUGUAGCUGCCAUAUGGCGGGGUGUGUCAUGUGGUAGGAGUUCCCACCGGGAUGGGUUGUUAAAUAAAAUUAAAAUUACAAAUUUAAAAUUUAAAAUCUAAAAUCUAAAAUCUAAAACUACAAUUUUUAUUUUACUAGUUUGUGAAGCAACCACCUCCAAAGAAAUAGUUUGUUUCCGGUAUCUCAUGAAUACAUACAUUUCCAUGCGGUUGGACAAUUCUUCUACCCCCAAUGCAUACAGUCGAUGCUUCCAACCAUCUCUGGAAAACCCCGUUGUUCUCCAAUAUAAAUUAGCCUUGGGAGAUCCUCUGGUGUAGAGCGUCUUAGGUAUUUAUCGCAAAACAAGUCAACAACUCCCACAAAAAAAUGUUCCAAACACUUACGAGCCGUCGUUUCACAAAAACGUAUAUAUUCGUCAACCGUGUCUUUCCCACCCCUAUAUGCUAAUAGUUGAAUUGCUGCAAUACAUUUUUGGAGGGGUGAUAUACUAUUUCGGAAUGUUGCAUUUUUUUUUGGUUGAAAAUAUGGAACUUCUACAGAGAGAUGAUUCCCAAUACGCAUGAACAAUGAGAGACGAAGAAACGAUUGUUGUGUUUCCGAGUGAUAUAAUUUGAGUGAAAAUGAGAGAGAUUAGAGCUUGUGUAUUGGAAGAAAUUGUUGUGUUUGUGAGUGAUAUAAUUUGAGAGAAAAUGAGAGAGAGGAGAGCUUGUGUAUUGGAAGAAAUUGUUGUGUUUGUGAGAGAAAAUGAGAGAGAGGAGAGCUUGUGUAUUGGAAGAGAUUGUUGUGUUGUUCUUUCGAGAAGUAAGCGAUUUUGAGUAGAGGAAUGAAGUUUACCAUGUAUUAUUAUAUAGAAAUGUUUGUUCAGAAAACAACAAACUCAUGUGAAUUAUAAAAACAAAAAAAACAUGGCUGUCACAAAUAGAAGCAAUACAAAAACAUGUGAUUCAUUCACUUUCUAGUCACACAUGAUAACAAACUCAUGUGAAUCACAAAAAUCCAAUCAUACAAUAAUCGAUGAUAGCAUAUCUUCUUUACCAUCUCUAUUACAAACCCAAAUCUCUCUUACUUACUUAUCAGAACUAUUGACAGAAAUAGGCACAAAACAGUUAAGCUCACACCAACAACCAACUCAUAUCUUAAUGUAAACCUAGUCUUCUGCAACUCAUCAACAAUCUUCUCAAGGCUCACAACCUUCUCAUCAGUUUUACUAUGUUUUUCUCUCACCUGGUUAAGGUCCAAUUCAUAUAAUCUGGCUCUUUCUCUCAUCUCCUCCAUAACUCCCACAUCCCACCACUUGUGAUCAUGCAUCUCUCCAUCAUCAGCAUUAUCACAGGUGAAGAACCUCCAAUAACAAUAACAAUAGCAAUAACAAUAACAAUAGCAGUAACAAUAAAAAGUAAGUGGAUACAUAAAACAUAAAUCAGAGAAUGAAACUGACCUUCUCCCCGGAUCAUUUCUGGUGUAAGAGGUAUUUAUAAAAGGCUGACCAGCACAAUAACAUAUCUUGGGGAAUCCAACAUCAACCUCAGGUUGAGUCAGCUGGGCAUUGUGAUACCUACUCUCAGCUUCAUCCAUAAGAAUGUAUGCUUCAGUAUCCCUGUUUAUAGUGUCCUCUGUGUAGUGGUCAGUCGGAUCUGAAGAAGAAUCUUGUGAGUAGCUAUAAUCAUGUCCCAUUGUAUACUUAACCUGGAAAGAAAGAUAUAGACAGUUGAUAGAGUAUGAGAUAAUACAGCAAACAAGAUAAUACUUCACCUAUAAUCUGUAUCAAUUUCAUAUAGCAAACAAGAGAUAAAUACUUAGACAGAUAGAAAACAAAAGUGUUUAUAUUAAUAAGAGAUAAAACAUAACUUAUAAAUUAGGAGAUAUCACACAACUGAUACAUUAAGAGAUAUCACACAACUGAUACAUUAAGAGAUAUCACACAACUGAUACAUUAAGAGAUAUCACACAACUGAUACAUUAAGAGAUAAUACAUAAUCCAAAAUAAAAAACUUAGCUAGUUAAGAUAAAACACAACUGAUACAUUGAUAGAUAAUACUUAGACAGAAAAUAAAGAGGCUUGCUAGUUAGAACAAUAAAGAUUAAAGGUAGUUAGAAUAGUUCAGUCAUUAGCUUCUUCUUAAGAGCAACUUCGUCUUCAUCAAGUGGUUGUCUCUUGGCAAUGAGAGUGUCAAGAAUGGACAUCUUUUGGAGUUCUUUCUUGGCCUAGUUCUUUCUUGGCCUCAUUAUCGUUUUGUUUGUUCUCACAGAGUAUGAGAUACUUAGUAGAAGGUGCAACAUUUUCUUUACCUUUGUACCUUUUCGCUUUCAUUGCCUUUACACCAGAAGGCCUACUAUCUUGUUCAUUGGUAACAGAUCCAAAAGAUGGUGCAGCAUCCUCACCUUUUCUUUUCUUGCUUGAUCUGUUGCUAGUAAGGUUCAUUAAUCCUAAACUGCACCAUUUCUGUUCAUUUUUCAACUCAACCCAUGCAUGCUAUAAGGUAAACUUCUUAUUGUAAAGCGUCAACUGAUGAGCAUUCUUUAGAAUGUCAACAUCAUUCAUUCGAAUAGUUUUUUCACCCUCAACAGAUGCAUAUGCUCCAUAGAAAUGGCUCACAUCCUUGCUGAUUCUUCCCGACCUUUGCUUGCAAUGGUCAGACAGCCUUGCUUCACCACCAUUCAUGACAUGAUCACUUGCUGCAUAUUAGUCUGCAAUCCUUUUCCAGAAGGUCCAUGACCUUUGGCCAUUUCCAACAAUAACAUCCUUGGUUGUGUUCAACCAGCCGUUAAUCAAAACUAGAUCAUAUGCGCUGUUCCAUUGCCUUCUUCCUAAUAGCAGUUGUUGUGGCUUGAGAUUGAGUUGGAGCAUGACUCUGUUGCUGGCUAAAAGAAGGCAUUUGGCUGGCUUGAGAUGGUACAUCAUGUCUCUGUUGCUGGGUAAAAGAAGGGAUUUGGCUGUCUUGUGAUGAUGCAAAGUUAACAUUGGGAGAGAAGCUAUCAUAAGGGAAGUUAUGUAGGCUAAAGUAUAUGGGACACCCACUAGAUGGAUUAUUAUUUGAAUCCAUAGCAAAAGAUUAAUUGAAAGGAAGAAGCAAAAAAGAGAGAUGAUAGAAGACAAAUGAUAGAAGAGAGAUGAUAAAAGAGAGAUGAUAGAAGAGAGAAGAUAGAAGGGAAAUUAGGUAGAGGUUAAAAUUCAGAAGCAAAGAAGGUAGAUGAUAGAAGAUAAUUAAAAUCAGUACAUAACGAGGCUUUGGGUUAUAGUUAAUAGAGUUAAGUCACAACUAACAAUUACCUACCUCAGUCAAAUCAUUAUCAACUCUCAUUAACUAAAUAGUUAUCUUCUUAUAACAAUGAUAGUUUUCUAGUUCUUAAAAGAAGGAAAGCAUACAAGAUCAUUUACUUUAAAGUAUAAUUAGUAAUCUUGUUGUAACAAUCAUUUCAAAAGUAUAAGAAGAACAAAGCUCAGAGAUAUAAAGGCAAACAAAAUGAAAAUUCACUAACCAUUCACAAAGACAGUACAAUUUACAGGUUCAAUUUAUGGCAAGAAAGUACAAUUUAAAGGUUCAAAGCUAUUAAAAGAACAAAGCUCAUAUAUAUUAACGCAAACAGAUGUGUGAGCUGUAAAGCAAGAGAAUGUGAUACUAGAUACUUCAAUUUACAGCUUUAAUUUAUUCCAACACAGUACAAUUCAUUAGACUACCAAUUUACAGGUUCAAAUAACAACAAGACAAUGAGUAACCAAUACACAUCUCUUUUCACACGAAGAACCAUGCAUUAAGAAAAUCUAAUGCAUNNNNNNNNNNNNNNNNNNNNNNNNNNNNNNNNNNNNNNNNNNNNNNNNNNNNNNNNNNNNNNNNNNNNNNNNNNNNNNNNNNNNNNNNNNNNNNNNNNNNGGAUUGUGUAACAUACCUAUAAGUUUGGAGUUAAUUGUGCUGAUUAUCCGAAUGAGCUUUCCCUGGUAUCUUCAACAUCAAUCCUCACAAACAAAGGAAUAAACAAGAGUUAAGGUUCAUCUUUACACUAUAAUCAUAUGCAUUAACUAUUAACUAAAUGGAUUUUGUGACAUACUUAAUAGUUUGGAGUUAAUUGUGCUGAUUAACAUAACAUACUAAACUACAUCGACAUCGACUAAACAUUUUCAGACCAACAACAGAUCUAAAUCCUCUUUCAACACAAUUUAAACCAACAUAUCUAAACCCUAGAACUGGAAACCUGUACAACUGAUAACUUCUUGUUUUCAUGCGCUACUCGAACCAAGGACCUCCAAGCUUUUGGAAAUAGUACCUACUGAUUUUGCUCAUGCUGAUUGAUCAUUUGUUGUAUCUAUGGUGUCCACAAAUAAACAUUUAGCUACUGGUCAUGCUACAAAAGAUUAAGUCAAUCAUAUAGGUAUGUCACAUCAAUUGUUGGCUUUCAUAUAAAUGUAUGCGGCAUGUGUACGACAUCUAUAAAAUCUUUAACUACCUUUGGUCCUAGGUGCAGUCCAUUAACCAAUGUCUUGCGGUUUUGUGUUUGCCACCGUACCUCAAAAACAACUAUAACACCAUUAGACGAAGCAAGUAGCGUGCAUUCUCGCUAUUAAAUCAUAUUCAAACAAGAAGUUGUAGGUUUUAAUGGUAUAUAAAUCUCAGUAAUUAUUUAUGUCAAAAACUCAUAUACUAUAAUUAGAGAAUUGUGAGAAGUUUCGGAAAAUGAAAGGUUUAUUGUGAUUUUAGGUUUUGUUACUGUGACAGAAGAGAAGUAACAUAGAAUGUUAAAAAGGAGAACAAAGUUAAUAAAGAGUACUUUUGUGAUUGGUUAAUUAGCCGGUGGUGUUAUUAUUUAUCAAAUGUUCAAAAGUAUUUUCAAAUUCUUUGUUCUAAUUGGCCAGAUCUAUACACCAAUCACUAUAGCCUAGGGCCUAAUACUAAUAAUUACUUUUUAUCAGGUUUUUGAGUUAAUAGAUUUUUAUCAGGUAAAUGAAUGCUUUUGCACACACAAAGCAAAAAAGAUAAAAAUAAAAUAAAUGGGUAAAUCAAUCGUGUCUUACCCUUUUAAAUUAAUUGAAUUUGAAUUUACAACUGAAAUAGGUAAAGUUGGAAGGUGUUCUUUUAAGAGAAAUUGGCCAUUUCAUACCGAACCUAAAUAUGAAUGUACAAUUCAUACCUAACAUUUUUCUAUAUGUCAUUAUAUACCCGAAUGUUAGGUAUGAAUUGAACACUCAUAAUUAUGAAGUGUAUAAAAUGUUUAAUUUCCCGUUCUUUUGUAUGAAAGUUUAAAGAACCAUUUGAAGGAAAAAAGGAGUAGAAAAAUUGGUAGGAAACUUGAAUGAAUACAUUAUAUGUAGAAAAAUUGAAGGCGAUCAUUUGAUUGGACCUAUAACAAAUUUUACAAAAAAUGGUUCAAAAAACUCUUCUGCGUUUGUACCACCACUAAAUUCUUAUCAUAUAGAUUUCAAACAAGUGAUAUCCUACCAUCUUCUGUAGGAUAAUUGAAAGAAAUGGUUUUUUCUACUAUUUUUUUACGCUUAUGUCCGUAGGAAAUCGGUUAAUUUCUUGUAGUUAUAUAUGUGAAAUAUGGUUAAAACUGAUAUUUGGUAUACUUUAUUUGUAGACUUAUUAUAAAAUGGACAAGUCUUGGAUUACAAAACAUCGUUUAUCUGAAGAUUAAAUGAUAUUAAGAGAGAGAUGAUUAAAUUUCCUUGCUAGAGUUGGUGCCUAGUUAUUGAGGUUGAGGGUCAAGGUUUUCUACCAAUAUAUACAAGUUUGAAGAUACACGAAUAACAUUUAGAUUUCUAUGAAGAGACCAUCCGAUUAAAAUUUGAAUCCAAUGUAGAUACUGAAACCCAUACAUUUUAUAUUUAAUUACAUAUGUGCCAUUUUAUUAAUUUUAAAAGGUUAAUUAAUUAAAGAAGGUAAUAGAAAAAAGAAAACCCUAAUCUCAUUUUUUAUCGAACAGUCGUUUUCUCUCCUUUUAGUGGGAAUUAAGUGACGAUUCCGGCGAAACUCUGUUCGUGAUGUUCCGGUGACUAGGUGAUAUGAUUAUGGGAAGUUUCAAGACAUGUUGUCAUUGUUUUAAGCAUAUCUUCUCAACCACGAAACAUCUAUGCACGAAACGAUUUGGAGAAAAUGCUCAACUCAACUACAGAACUCCUCAAAGAAGAAUCAAAUCAAAUGGAGUUCAGACGAAAGAGUUAUUUAUUUUACGAAUCAGGUGUUCUCCAGUUUACCCGAUUCGAGGGAAAAUCCUUUAUCAAGAAGGAGAGUAUGGUAUGAUUAUGGGAAGCUUCAAGACAUGUCGUUAUUGUUUUAAGCGUAUAUUCUCAACCACGAAGAAUCUAUGCAUGAAAAGACUUGGAGAAGAUGCUAAACUCAACUACAGAACUCCUCAAAGAAGAAAUAAGUCAAAAGGAGUUCAGACGAAGGAGUUUUUGAUUUUACAAAUCAGGUAAUCUCCAUUUUUCCUGAUUCAGAUAUGCGUCCAUUCAACGAACGGACCAGAAUGAAUUAAGGUACAAACUAAGUUGUUCUAUAAACUUGGUCCAUGAGAGAAGCCCAACUAGGUGGAUUCAGUCCAAAAAGAAUGAAGAAAGAUCAAUAUUUGUCCAUAGGAAAAUAGCAUUGAAUUCUCUCGAUUUAUCUCUCUUACAUGCACUUUAGAGUUGAAUAUCAUCUCCAUAGAUGCUCUGCAUGUUGAGCUAUUAUUAUUGAAGUUUUUGAUGUAUUUCCCCUCUAUAUAAUGAGGUUAUCUCAUGAAUAAUAAGAAUAAGCCUUUUUGAUAUUUUUGGAACCUUUGAGAGUGUUUAUCAUUUUUUGUCAAUGGUGUGUAAUACUCAUUGGUUUUGUUUAUGGUAAUAUCCAUUGAUCAAUGCAUGAUCCGUCUUGGUAUGUCAUAUCCAGGGGGUUUUGUCGAGAGUGAUUCUCAUUUUAACCCUUGAAUUCGUCUUAGUGUGUCAUAUCUAAGUUAUUCAAGUUCGGUAAAUCAAGAGUCUUCCGCAGCUCUUGUGCAACCAUUCGCUCCACCAUCCUUGUUCUUCGUGGCUUCACCAUCCGUUGAACCUAAGGAAUAUCUUUCACCAUCUUAGAGUGUCGAGUCCUCGAGAGGAUCGUAUCACUAGGACGGCGUCUCUGGGUAAUUUCCGGUCAGAACCAGGUAGAUUUGGUUGGAUGUUCGAGUAAAGAUUAGUAUUAUAUAUUAGACAAGUAAUAGAUAUCUGACAUAAGUUGUUUUGUUCUAGGUUUUCAAUCGACGGCGGGGGUGAGGCGUAGGCGAGUGGUAGUCGUAGCCGAGGUGUCCGUGACGGGUAAAGAGACCAUCAUUGUUUGGGAAGACAAAAAGGCGGUUGGUUAGAGGACGACGGAUGGUAUUCUGAGUCGUCUCUACUGUCGAAGCUUUUGGGUCUGUUGACACUUCCGGUAAGUGUGUUGAGUAGAGUUCAUUUCCUUUAAGUAUGGUGGGAAAUUAGUGACAUAGUUUUUUCAAAGGUUUUGAACGAACGACGAGGAGAGUGUAGAGAUCUAAGAAGAAUCCGGUGUUGAUUCAAAAGAUAAAAUGAUUACAAUGUUAGGUAACUGCUUAUCUUAAACAGGGAGAUUGAAUGUAUAUUUUCUGCGUUUUAAUAUGCUGGUCUGGGUUAUGAUCAUUUGAUCAUCAUUUUUGAUAAGAACAAUUGUGGUAAAUGAUAAUCUAAUAAUGAAUUCGAAUUUGGCGGGUUGAUAUUUGUUCGAUAAAGUAAGCAGUUUAUUUAGAACUCUAUGGUAGAGUAGUUUGAUGGAAAAUUGAUUUGGUUAGGUGGUUUGACAUUAAAAUGGAAAUUGGUUCGGUUAAAGUGUAAUGAAAAUGACAUGUCUGUGUGACAUAAUUUAUAAACAGAGUUAGUAAAUAGAGUUGUAUGGCAGAGUUAAAAUAGAAAACGCGAUGGAAUGAUAAUUUGAGCAUAGAAAACAAAACUGAAAAUAGUUGGAUGUUGUAGAUUCAUUUUAUUUGUUUGCUAUGCUAAUGACAGAGAUUUAAGACUAACAUUUUCCUCGCAUAAAUGGUAAUACGAAAGGCAGUUUAUAAGUGCAAUUUAGGAAUGGGUACAUAUUAGUGUAAAAUGAUAAUCUAAUCAUGCAAUAAAAUUUGGCGGGUUGGUCUUGGUUUGAUAGUGUUUGCACUGAAUUUAGAACUCUAGAUUUGGUUUGGUGGUUUGGUAUUGAAAAGUAAAUUGAUUUGGUAUAAGUAAUGGAAAUGACAUGUGGCUGUGACAAAGAUAAUUAAUAGAGUUGUGAAAUAGAGUUGUGUGGUAGUGUAAAUAUUGUAAAUGCAAUUGACCGAUAGUUUGAGCAUGUACUAACAGAAAAAUAGUUGGAGGUUGUAUAUUUCAAUUUAUAAUAUUUUUUUAUAUGACAAAUAGGUAAGACUGUUUUUGUGACAUUUUUGUGUUAUACUCUUGAUUUGUAUGAUGAUAGAUAGAACUGCAGUUUUCAUAUGAGAUCUUUGUUAUUAAUUAUAAGAGUUUUUGACCUUAUGAUUUUUUUCAUUUGCAGGAUUGGCAUCUACAGGUGUUGAGAAGGGCCCGAGGUACCCUCUAAGGCAGUAUCCUAAAGGAAAAGCUCCAUUCCUGAAAAUGAGCAUGCACCAUAACUGCACACUGGCCAGUUUUGGAUUUAUCAAAAAGUGCAUAGGUGAAUAUGUGUAUAAUGACAUCCGGAUAAUUCACAAGUUGGAGUUGUAUUAAAGCUUGCGGAUUCUAAUUAUGUAUGGUGGGGAAAGCUUAUUCAUUACAUCUGAACUUGCAGUUGGCAAUACAGAGGAAGUAUGGGAUAUGGCUUUGAUUGAAGGUAGUCCCAUUAGGUUCUCCCUCCAUGAAUAUAAAAACAUAACCGGACUGAACUAUGGUCCAUUUGUUGAGGAGGAUAUAGUGGAGGUUGAUCACAGAGAUUUUAGGGUAGAGAUCACUGUGGAUGGAGGUGUAGGGCCGAACUGGUACGAGCUGGAUGAAGCUCUAAAGAAUUGUAUGAUUUGGUCUCGUGAGAAGAGAAAGAUGAUUGGAGUGAUAUUUGUAGUCCAUGUAGGUAUUUUGGGAAUAUCCAGGUCAAGUAGGAUUCCACUUGACUAUGCUAAAACAGUGCUGGAUAAUGGUGUUUUUGAGAGAUUGCCUUGGGGCAGGAUUGAUUUUAAAGAGCUCAUUCAGUCCAUCAAAGUGGUGUCCUAUGAGCUAUGCAGAGUCUUCAUAAGCUCGGGAAAAACUAUGGGAACAAAUGGAAGUUAGAUGAGCAUGAGGCAAAUACUGAUGAUAUUGUUCCACUACUGAUGUGGAGUGCACGUCGUCCAGGAAUUGAUAUAGGGAAGUUUUUGCCACAGAGAAACGAAAGAAGAAAAAGGUGAUUCUCAAAUUUUUUCCCAGUCUAAUAUGUUUUUAUUUCCAUCUAUGUGUAUUGUUAUGUCCUGACAGAGUUAUUGUCAUCCAUUUGUUAUUUUCUGAUAGAGUUAUCUUUGAUGUGAUUGAAGUUAACUCAUAUGGCGUGGAAAUCUGAAGAGAAUAUAUACCCUUUCUAUCUAGAUGAAGUAGGUUUGUAUCCGAAAGGAUCAGUGGGAAUCAAGCUCCUGGACAAUUUGUUCCACGACAUCUUCCUUGGUCGUGUGGAUUCAACACAAUGGGAACUUGGUAAAGAGAAGGUUGCGGGUGAGAAGAUGAUGGAGAAGAGGAAGGAUAUAGUGCAAAGUGAUGAUAUUGUUGACCCUCCUCCACUGAAAAAAACCAAAGACUACCUUGAGGAGAUCAAGAGGGCCUGUGAAGUUGAAGGAUGUGACUGAUGAAAGUGGAGAGGAAACCGAGGCUGCUAAGAUGGAAGAAGAAGGAUCACUGGUCGGAGUGAUGAAGUUACUCUAAAGUUUGUCUGGCAAGAUGUACUCUAUGAAUUCAAACUUUCGAGUGCAACUGAAUAUGCUAGGGACUCAAGUGAAGGAGAUUGAAAAGAAAGUCACUGUUCUUGAGGGAGAUGUGGGACAACUGAAGCAAGCUGAAGAGACUAAACAAGUAAGAAGGGGAAGGAAGUGAAGCAUGGGAGUUCUAUGAAGAUAGGACUGACUCCUAAUGAUGAGGAACCUAAAACCGACUAUGCUGCUGGUUCAGGGGCCAAUGAAGAGGUAUGAAAACUUCUCUUAUAUGAUGAGAACCAUGAUAUUAACAUGCUGAAGAAGAAAAUCCCGAGGACGGAGAAAAUCCUAAUGAUGAAGACAGCCAAGCUUUGUUAGACCGUUUGCUAGCUUUUCCAGGCCGACACCAUCUACCACUUCUGUCAAAGGAUCCUAUCCUUUUCUCUUUGGUAAUGUCUCUCCUUUUCUCUGUUUACAUAUCAUUUCUCAUCUGAUUUUGAGGAACUUAACUUGUUUGCUUUAGUCCUCCAGAAAAGUGACUAAUGCUGCAAUGUUUGCUUUAGUCCUCUAGUCCUCCAGUCCUUUAUGAAUGUGAUCUCGCUACUUUGAUUUUAAUGUCAGCAGCUAAGUUAAAUCUCUUGCUAAUUCUCUGUUGCUUCAGUAAGGUAUUAGUUAGAUCCAAUGAGUUUAAUAAGGACUGAUUCUACCAAUGUCUUGGUGUGUGGUCUCAUGUAAUGUCUACUACUCUCUUUAAUAAGGACUAAUACUCUGCUUUUUGUGACAGUUUCAACAGGCACAGAGGUAUACUUUCUCGAGCGAUUGCACGAAUAAUUAUGAGGAAAUUUGAUGGUCCUUACUAAAGGUUGAAGGUUACUCAUCCAUCCAUUCGAGAGAGAGAGAUAUUACAGGAAUUUUGCGGUAAAAUGUCAUAUAGCUUUAAAAGUGUUAUUAUCACUCAUGAAUGACUUAGUAUCUAUGCUUACUUAACUCUUUUGUAUUAUGUAGCGGAAGUUCAACUGGGAUAGUGAUAUUACUGAGUUUGUUAAAGAUGGAUUCUUGGUAAUAGCCAAGAAACGGAUGAAAGGGAUUGUGAGUCAAGCUAAGAGAAGUGGUACAUAACCUAUUUGGAUUAAGAAUACACUGUGGGCUCGGGUGGUUGUUCAUUGGAACAACCCUGAUGUAAUAGAGAAGAGCUCAAAUGCUUCACAGAGCAGAAACUCCGAUCAUGGCGGUCUCGGAGUCCCCAAACAUGUAGCUGGUCAGAAAUCAUUUUUGCGAGUUCAUCAAGAAAUGGUAAUACUUCUCUGUCCAUCAAAACAAUUCACUGCACUUCAUUUCAGAUAAUGAUUUCUUGAUUUUAACUAGUUUUAUUUGCCUUGUAGGAGGAAGAAUUAGGGCGCCCUGUAUCACUUUGCGAAGUGUUUAUGCGAACACAUACUCGAGCUGACGGAUAAUUGGUUGAUCAAAAAGCUAAACAAGUAGCUGGGAACUAUGAGAAGACGUUAGAAGAGAAACUGUCUGAAAUUGACGAGGAUGGUCCAUAAACUUCUUCUGAAAAUUCAACUCAACGUACUCUUAAUAUUGGUGAAAAGAAUGACAUCUUUCUUAAGGUAAUUCUUUAGUACUCAUAAUUUGUUAAGCAUAUGACGCUUGUUUGUUACUGGUGUGAUUUUCCUUGUGGUUUUUCAUCUCUUCAUUUACAUGAUAAAUGUAUAAUACUUGUUGUUAGUGUGGAUACUGAUGGUUCUCUAUUUGGUCUGUAUUUUCUGUUGCUGGUCUGAAUUUUGUUGGUCUUAAAAUUUGGUUUUGUUGAAUUUUUUUGUUUUAGUGUACUAAAACAGAUGACAAGGGCAACCCUUUUUCCCUGGGAUCACUUGUGGAGACACUGAAGAGAGGGAAAAGAAAACAAGCUUAUGAAAGCUCUUCUUCAUCAACAGUUUUGGAGUUUCAAGAAAAACUUCGUCGCAACAUGGCUCAUCAUGAGGCUGAGAAUGCACGACGUGAAGAGGAGCACCGACAAAUGCAAAUGCAGUUGCAAAAGCUUUUCCUCUAUAUGAAAGACAAAGAUCCAGAAUUUGCAUCUUUUCCGGUUUCUUCUCCAACUGUACCUGCAACCAUAGCUGACACCACACCUGUAGCCACCAGACCACCAACCACUGCACCAGCCACUGCACCAGCCACUGCGACAAGUACUUGAACCAGCCACUUCACCAGCUGCCGUGAUAGGUUCUGCAUUUGCCACCUUGUUUGGCACCACACCAGUCCCAUAACCCCUUUGUCUGACGCUUCCUACUCAUAAACAUGAUAUGCUUAACUUUUGAUGUAAUUUAUAUGUUAACGUUUGGUUUACUUUUUGUUAUGAACAAUUAGGAUGUUUAUUGUAUGAUUAGGAUGAUGGUUUCUUUGUAAAUAUAUGAUUAGGAUGAUAUUUAUCUUAAUUAUUUGGGUUUUAAAUGUUAUAUUUCGUAAUUUAUUUAGAUUAGUAAUCAAAUUAGGUCAAUAAAACAAGAUUCUUGGAUGCCAAAAUAUCACCAAGUUGCGACCAUUUCAAUUUACAUACACAACCAAACUAGUUGCAUAAUGGUUACAAUACAAAACUACUGUCAGACUGUAUAUAUUGGGUCUUAAAUUAGUCGCAAAUUUUAAACACCCAUUUGUGACUGUAUUGUAACUGAAAGAAGUAUUACGUCUGAUUAUUAAAGGUCUGUAAAACGCCGCUUAUUAACGACUACAUUUUACAGUCAUAAAGUGGUCAUACAUUUGCGACUAUUUCAGGACUAAUUUAUGUAGUGACCAUUUUUUAGCGACCAUCUGUUAUAGUCGUGAAGUAGUCGUGAAAUAGGUGUUUGCGACCAUUUUAUGACGUUACUCGGAGUCGCAAAUGACGUGUUUUCUUGUAUCAUGGGUAAAAAACAGAAAUAUGUACUAACCGCAAAGAUAGAGGGUACAGUUCUGCAGAUACGGAAAUAACACACGAAAAGCUUGUGAAGUUGGUUCUCGAUGGCUACGAAUUGAAGGAAUUGAGCCAUUAGGUAAAGCUGAGCUACAUGUUCUCGUUAGAAUAGCUCUACCAAGUCUAGAAAUAGUAAGCGUUAAGCCAACCAUGGCGCUGGCAUAACUUGGCCAAACCACAAAUUUAUCUUCGUGAAGUCAGCUAUGUUGUUAGAAUAACUCAGCCAAACCUCGAAUUAUUCUGUGAUAAGUCAACCAUGUCGCUAGCAUAACUCGGACAAACUUCAAAUAUGGUAGAUGUGAAUAUUUGAUACACUCAUGUAAUUAAAACACUUUAAUAAGAUGUAAUUAAAAUUUAUAUUCACUUUAAUAAACCAGAUAAUGAUCAUGAAAUUAGCUCUUGUUUGUACUUUUUAAACAUAUCCAACAAAAUGAUAAACCCCAAACUUUAUACUUAGCUUCCAUUUCUAGACAAUUGAUCAAUAUAAAAUGUGAAUGGGUUGUAAGUGUGAAAUUUUUAUUGUAUUUUAAUAUUAUAAAUCUUAACAUUGUUAUAACCAAUACUAAUUGUAACAUACAAAUGUCCCUUUAAAUUAAAAGUUUACUCAUAAGUCAGCAGUGAAAAGUAAAUAACACAGCUGUGACGUAUUAUUUUACAGUCAAACACAAAACUUUGAAUUAUUUUGAAUACUGUUUUUGGAAAAUUAGAUUAUUUUGGAUAAAAAAUUUUGAAUAGUUUUGAUUAAUUUUUAAAAAAGAUAUUAAUUUAUGAAUUUAUUAUGAGUGAGUGUGUGAAAAUGUGUACAUAAUUAUUGUUGGCGUUUCCACAAAAACACUUUUUAUAAUCUCGAAAAUGUAUAUCAUAACCCAGCUGUAAUAUGGAAUAACUCUGUUGUAAUGUAGCAUAACUAAGCCGAAAUGUGACAUAACUCAGACAAAAAGUUAAAAGCGACUUUUCGUAUUUCUUUGUUAUUUUUGUCGGAAAACGAAUAGUACCCACUCGAGUUCAGACGAAAUGUGACAGCAAUGAGAAGCGGUGAUGGUUUUUUGUUUAGUUGUGGAAUCUUCGAGAGAGGGAACGAUGUUUUCUUUUUUGUGUUCGUGAACAAUGAUCCAAACGAUUCACUUUUCCCCUUUCUUAAUCAUUAAUGACAGAGUACAUAUUAAUAAUGACGUGGAUAUUUUGGGUAUGAAGUGGAUAUUUUGGGUAUAACGUGGAUUUUGAAGUAUGACAUGAAAUUGUUUAAUGAAAAGAUAACCAAAUCUGUUAAUUUUAUUUACACCCAUGACAGUAAACAUAUGAGUAAAUUUAAGAAAAAAAUUACAAUCUAGUAAUAUUCCAACAAUUGUGCAAUAUCUCAUUAAUAAUUUCUAAAAAGAAAUGUAAAAGUAAAUAACAUAGUAUUAUAAAAUCUUCUAUCUUUUAUGUUCAAUUCUCUCAUUUUCUUGGGUUAUCCUUGGCUUUCAUCUUCUAUCAAAAUGCCAAAUCAUUUUUGUUGGAGAGAAUCAAAGUAAAUAGACAGAUUCAAUUACCAGAACAUAACGCUUUCAGAUUGAGGAUUUAAUCAAAAUUAACCAAUUGUAGAAUCUUAACCAAAUGCAUCAAACAAGGUUUAACACAUUAUGCAUAGCUAUAAUUUGCUUCAUAAUUGCAUCUAAAUAUCAUUUUCCAAUAAAGAGGUAAAAAUAAACGUACCAUACUUGAAAAAAUUCCAUAUCACGUCACUUUACGAUCAGUUUGGUCAUUUUUAGUCUUUGUCAUGCUACUAGGCUUAAACAGUAGAUAAAGAUAUGUUAAACAUGAGAAUAAGUUUGGAUAUCUGCAAGUUAACUACACACCACAAUUAUAGAUUUCAAGCAUCAUCAUGUAAGACAAAUAUGCUCUUGAAAUCGGUUGUUCUAAAUAAUAAUCUGAAGAGAUUUAGCCACAAUAUAAAGUUUAUCUUCAAUUAUUUUCAUGCGAGACUUCGGUUCAAGUAUCUCAGAGUUAAUUCUUAUCUCUGAUUCUAGACUAUGAAAGUAUUUGGACGGUGAUGGACCACGAAUACUUGUGCUCGGAACCGAAUACUUAUUCAAACGCAUCCUUAGGACCAGACUCACUACUUGAUGAUUCACUUUUAAUAUUCUGAUUUAUUACGUGUGUAAGCUUAUCUUACAGGUUUCAAAAAUCCUAUGUAAGAAGACUAAAACAGAGAAUAAUAUAAAGUAAACUAAUCCACAAACUAAUAGUAGGAAAUUAGAAGGAAACAAUAAUUUAUAAUUAUUUCGUUUGUAACCUUCUAAACACAAAAUAGAUAUUUAUUAUUUGCAAUAAAUAAGUUUGUAACCUUCUAAACACAAAAUAGAUAUUUAAAAUUUGUAUCAUAUUUUUUAUUGGGCCUAUAAUUAUAAUUGCUUAUAAACAUUAUAUUGUAUCAUUUGUAUAAGAAGAUAAAAAAUAAUUUAUAUCAUAUUUGUUUAAAAAUUUUACUUUGUUUAUUGGAGGGACAAAUUUUCUACGAAUACAAAAUUGUAGGAUUUUCUUAUGAAUAUUGUAAGAGUGUUUCUACCAAUUUCUUACUAUAGGUUAAUCUUAGGUUCUUAGAUAAAUUGUAGGUUAUAUUCAACAAAUAAUCCAAUCUUAUACUCAAAACUAUAAUCCAAUACUUAGAAAAUGUCAAAAAAAAAUUGUUUUCAAAGAAUGCAAAUCUAAUUAUCUCUAAGCCUUAACCAUUAAGCAAUUAUCUUGAUUAAGCCUACAUAAAUAGUUAAAUACACAACUAUUAAAUUAAAUUAGGAAGUUCAUUUAUAAAGGUUCUCAAAUAAACUCAUUAAAGACUAAAAUAUUAAAGUAAAAAGAAUAAUAAAUGCUAGGGAAUAAAACAACGUCAAAAAGAGUAUUUGAGAAGCUAAAAAUAUUGAAGCAAAAAGUAAUUUAAAUGAGCUUUUAAUUAGUAGCCCAUUAAAUAGUAACGUAACUUAGUAAACCCUAAUAUAAAAACAAAGUCUAGUGUUUUAUCUCUCAGCCGCAUGUUUCAACUUGCCGUUUGCUUCUCCUCGCUGUCAAAGUCAUCGGAACCGGCAAAAUUCAAAGAUGAAAACAUAAAAAGAAGGUUCGUUCAUUUGUAAAGUUGAGUUUCUCAUGUCCAGAUCUGAUUCAUUUGCCCAGUUCUGAUUCAUUUCUUGUUGUUAAUUUCUUGUUGCCCACAUUCACCACUACUCUUACACUCGACGGAGCCAUCAAACAUCAAAACUCAAUAUGCAGGGUGAGUUGACUGAGCACUAUUCUCUUUUUCUAUGUAUCUCAUCUUGUCCUUUGUAUUUUUGUUUGAUUUUUUUUCACUGGCCAGAUCUGAUUCAUUUAUCCUUAUGAAGAAAGUAAAUAUGAAGUGGAGGAAGAGCUUCAAUCAGAAGCAAAUUAAAAGGAAUAGAAGUGGAGGAAGAGUGUUAAUUUAAGGAAGAUCAUGAUCACUGGUGGUCUUUGUUCUAUCUAGUUUAGGUGUUUUGUAAUUUUAAUUUUGGUUUUGUAACAUAUUGAUUGGAACAUUUGUUUUUUUCUUUGGGUUAGGUUCUUAAUUUUUUUUUUUUGGAAUUGUAAAGGAAAAGAAAUUGUAUAUUCUAUUUAGUUAAUUAAUGAAAAACUUUGUGAAAUAAUAAUAAUUUUAUGAAAUAUUCGGUUUAAUAAUUACUAAUUAUUUAAUAAUUUAAAAUUUAAAUUUAACAAAAUUAUUGUGAUUAAUG
RNAcentral lists this long non-coding RNA (65656 nucleotides) under Capsella rubella. RNAcentral's name for it is "long non-coding RNA (CRUB_LNC002612)". Lineage: Eukaryota; Viridiplantae; Streptophyta; Magnoliopsida; Brassicales; Brassicaceae. The record is from RNAcentral.